UUGUGUCUUAAGUAAACGGCUAACGGACAAAGUAUUCAGAUGUUGGUAUCUUAGUGAGUAAUUAAUUAAGUUACGUUUUCCGUUUCGUUUCGUUGUGACAUACGUGUAGUUUGAUUUUUUUUUUUUUUUUUUUUUUUUUUUUUUUUUGCUUAACAUCAACUUAUCAUUAACCAACUUAAGGAUUACAAUUCAUUCAACCUCAACUCGUUUGACCCAAAUGCAAUGAAACUGUCUAGUACCACCCUGGAACACUUAGAUGGAUCCAACGCUACCCGACGCGAGUCAUUGCAUUGUUACAACCACUGCAAGAUGAAAACACCCCACUAUUCGGAGUGAGAACAUCUCUUAGACCACCUAAAUUAACCACUAUGACACGAAAACAACUACUAACUCAGAGGAAACCAAAUCUUAAACUGAAUUACAAAUCGAUUCCAAGCUAUGAGACUCUUAUGAUUAGCGUGUAGACCGUGUCCCGAUAGCGUCCACACCCAAAGAUGCAUCAUCAGAAAACUUGGGAUCUCCGGCUUUUGUUGUUCCGGUCUUAAACCAAAAGCAGACACUAAAUCCGAAUGAACCGACUAAAGAUACGAGGCAAAACCGGCAUGACUCGAGCAUUCUCCGAACUAACCCGUCAAUAGCAGGAUACUAAUCGAUUAAAGAUAACUCAGUGGAUCCCGGAUUAGUACGACCUCACCUUCACGGUGCAUUGCCGGAACAAUCUCGCCGCAUGUGCCUUGAUGCCUCGCUCCAUCGACGGACUGGACCAGACUUGAGGGGGCUCACUCGAUCUCCGGCUUGAGGACAGCCUCAUCUCGGCCACCGUCGACCACAUCACCUCCCCAACGCCUGGAAGACUCUGACUCCGACUCGACCAUGGAUCUCUGAUCGGCUAGAAUCUCCAAGGAGGGAGCGGAAAGACCGGAGCGCUGCACAGAGCAGCUCCGCACUCCCACCAGGCUCCCGGAGAAGGAUCGAGCCGAGAUCUCUCUCCUGCAGCUACUGCCUCCGCGUCGUCUUCACCUUCGAUUGAGCUACUCCUUAGCCUUCCGAAGAAACCGGUGCCGAGUCGAUCUAGACAUACACUACAAGACAAGAAGACGAAAAAGAAGAAAGGGGGCCCUCUCUCACCGCCGGCGAAAGCCCCGGGCGGCGGAGAGGCAGCGGCGGCUCAGAUCUAGGUUUGCUCUCUCGGGGACUCUCGCUUUUCUCUCUCUGGUCUCGGUCCGUUUGAUUUUUUUUUCCUUGAGGUCAUAAUCUGAGUGAUAAGCCUGAAUUUAUCAAUAAAUCGAAUGGUAAGGUUGAUUUUGGAGUUUAUUUACACUUGUUGUUGCAUGUGAGAUGACUUCGUUUACAUUUUAUCUCGGGAACAUGUACAAAUGUCACAUAAGUUUUACUUUUUACUCUCCAUGCAUUUUUGUUUUUUGGCCUAUUCAGUAUUCACACAUAUUGGGACAAUUUCAUUUACAAGUCUAUAAUUUUUUUUAAUUUAAGGUUUUUUUCUUUGUAUUAAAAAAAUGGUGUUGAUAAAUUGAAAAAAAAACAAUAUCUAGAAAACAUUUAACUUUGUGAAACACAAUUAUAUUUCAAAACAUUUAAUAUUUUGAAAUGGAAAAGUUUUAGCAGUUUGCAGAUUCGAACUAACAUGGUCAGAAAAAUAGGGUAUAUCUAGAGACAUUUUUGGAUUUGGAUUCAAAUAAUGAUAUUUAAUUAAAAUGGAAAUAUAUAGAUCUGUUUCAUAUAAUUUUUUUUUUUCAGAAACAUGUGUAUAUGAUUUAUAUAAUACAAUAGUAAAUAAUAUUCUAAAAUCAGGGUUAAUUUUGAUAGACAUGUGACCGUCUAAUAUAUAGUCGCAAACUAUAACUAUAACUAUGUUUGGUCAAAUCUAUAUUCAUAUCAUCAUAUGUUACGUAAGAUAAAAAUCGAUACGCGAAUGUCUUAUUUUUAUCGAAUACGCAAAUCACCAUCCAUUCUACCAUCCGAAAAAAUUAGGGACUAUUCAACAUUCGAAUCUUUUAUAAAGAAAAGGAAGUUAGGCGUUAAAAUUUUGUCAAACCGAAAAAAAAAAUCAAAUAUAGACUAGACUUUAACCACUGCUUGAUACUACAACAUAGCUAUUAAUUUUCUUAAAACAAUUGGUACCAACCAAAUCUCUUUGAAAUCAUCAGCGCAAAAGGUAUUGAAAUCUAGCCAAGUAAAGAAUCUCCCCUUUUUUGUGGGUGAGCAAUUUCUAGAUCCAUCGAACCAUCACAAGAUAGUCGAAUCAAGCAUCUGAGUCGCUUUAUUUUCCUGCCCAAAUCCUUCACGGAGUUUAUACACCAUGCGCAUCUAUAUAUUUACAAUUAAAAUAUCUUAAAAAUUAUAGUAAACAAUUUGGAAAAAGUUUCUAAAAUAAAAACGUAUGCAAAAUCAAAUUCUCUUCUGACUUUCUCUUUCUGCCAAUGUCAAAAUGAUUUUACUUCAGUUUGCUUACCUAAAAUUUAAAAAAAAAUAUCCAAACUUUGGAUUGCUUUCUAUAAAAUAAAUGUAAAAGUUAAUGAACGAAAAUGCAUUAUAUUGGUCAGCUAUAAUAGCUAUCUAGAUUCAGUAAUUUUAUACACUAAUGAACGAUUUAAUAAAACUAAAUGAUUCAGACAUCAUUCCUUGACACGUUUUACAAUGAAACAUGUUGAUAUAUCAACUUAUAAUUUUCAGAUUAUUCCACUUAUAAGUAGAUAUUUUUAGUUGGCUUAGGGUCUGACUGGUUUAAACGCAGCGGUUGCGGUUGCGGUUACGGGAGUUUGCGGAAGCGGGCGGUUGCGGCUUCAAGCGUUAUCAAGUGUUUUGAACGACUGGUUUAGCGUUUGAAAAUGGGUGCGUUUGCGGGAGUUUUAUGACUGGUAAACCAGCGGGUGCGGUAGCAGUUAAAUAAAAAAAUGACCAAAAUAAAUAAAAAAUAUUACAAAAAAAAGAAAUAAAAACACCAAUAUAUUAUUAUGAUAAUAUUAGAAAAAUUGAACAUGCUUAAUAAUUAAAACCAUAAAUAAAGUACUAAAUAAUUAUUCAAAAAUAAAUAAAUUUUGUAACAAGAUAGUACUUUAUGCAUCUCGUUUAACAUCAAGUAAUGGGACAAAUUAUAAAUAACGUUGAGUUCAAUCAAAAAGCAAGUGAGUUUUUAUUCGAGAAAACAAAUCGAAACAUAUAUUCAAUCAAAAAGCAAAGCAAUACGUAAUGAAAAGAAAAAAAACGAUGCCAUGAAAAAUAUUCAAAAAGUUACACAUGAGGUGAUGAAUGAAUAAAAGGAUAUAUGAUACUUACGUUUGGUUAUUGAUUUUCAUCAGUUUGGAUGGAAGACAUUGAGAGAAAUAGGGUUUCAAAAUAUUAUUAGGGUUUCUGAUGAGAACGUGAUACAAAAAUGAAAGAUUUAUAUAUGAUUAAUAUAUAUUAUAAUAAUUAUAAGUAAACGUUUGAUUUUUUUUUUUUAAAAUCCAACCGCUACCGCCCGCAACCGCAAACGCUUGCGGGAAGGAGCUUUUGAAAUUUAGCGAUUUCGAGCGGUUCGAAGCGGUAUAGAGCGGUUUCUAUGAUUGGUACCAACCGCUAACAACUGCAACCGACCGCUAGUAACCGCUAGGAGGGUGCUAGCGGGAGAACCAAUCAAGCCCUUAAUACAUGAAUAACUUAUGGACUUAUAAUUCUAUAUUCAUUUUAACUAUGUGGAUCAACCUCUUUAAAUCCUGCAAGUAUGUAACCGAAUAAAUAUAAAUUGAAGGAAAAUUCAAAUUCAGAUUAUUUGGGCGGGUUGGAUGAACCCAUAUAAUUUUCAUAUUUUCUAGUUAUUAUUGUUUUAAUAAAUAAGAGUAAGGUUAUUUAUUAUGUUUAUAUUAUCUCAGCAGAUAAUUAAUAUGUUUGUAAGGGUUUUUAACGUGACAUAUUAAAUUUGAUGAAAUGGAGAAUAUGACAUUACGACACCGAAAAAAAACCAAUAAGGGAAAAACAAAUUACUCCCCCUGUUUCAUGAAGUUUGAUGUUGUGUAUUUUGCACACAAAUUAAAAAAAGAUAACUUUUAUACUUUUUAAUUACUAUUUUAUUUGUUUAAUAAUAUUAAUUCCAUUUCUCUUCUCUCUAUUGGCCACACAUAAAAAUAAUAAUAAAAUUGAUACAAAACAUCAAUCUUUGUGGAACAAGAAAGAAACUCAUAACAUCAAUUUUUGUGGAACAAAGGGAGUAGUAUUUAAGGCUGUAUAUCUUAACCGGUAACCAGUAUCCAAGGAGUUUUUUUUCAUUACAUCAACAUGUUGGGCAACUUGCUCUUCUAGAUGAUAGAAUCACACCAUGCACAGCUCAAAAGAAUAAUUUUAAAAAAUUUAAAAUUAAAAUAUUAAAGAAUCUAAUUGUAAUAAAUAUCUAACUUCUGGAAAAGAAAUAAAUUUAAAAACCUGGUCAGCUUUACUCUUGACAAUUUAUUUAUUGAAUACAAUGAAAAAAACUAAUACUCCCUCCGUUUUAUAUUACUUAUUGUUUUAAUUUAUUUCACACAAAUUAAAAAAAAAAAUUAUUUUCACCCAUAUUUAAUACACUAUUUUGUUUGAUAUAAUUAAUUAAUAAACUAAAAAAUAUAAACAAAACUGGAAAAUUUCCAUAAAUCUGUAUUGUAAAUACAAAACGACAAGUAAUAUAAAAUAAAUUUUUAUUUUUAAAAUGCCAAAUAAACCAACCCGGGGGGGGGUAUAUCUUAGAAAAAAAAGUUUUAUAAAAGAUUGGUUUUUCCUGGCCCCGGACCCGGAAAUUAAUUUCCCCCAAAAUUUGGUAUUAUAACAACAUUGCAGCCUAAAGUUUUUAAAAUUUUUUGGAAAAUAUUUGUAAUUUAGGCCAAAAGGAAAACCAGUUAUUCCAAUGAGAAAACAAAAAAUGGGGGGGGGGGGGGGGCACAUAACAUAAUUACGACCGUUACCAGUUUCAAUCGAAAAAAUGUUAAUAACAUAAAAAAAAAAAGGAAAAUUAAGAGAAUGACUUUUAUAAAUUUGGGGAACACAUGGUUGGACACGUGUUACAUAAACCACAUUGAGUUGCUUCGCACCGAAAGAUACAACUAUGAGCUUUUGGGGUCGGCUUGGUUGUCUUAUGUCUGGUCCGAGACCAAAAAGGCCACAACGCGUAGGGUCCAAUCGAAUUUACUAACAACUGCUCCUUAACAAAUUCCGUGUUCCUUAAACUUCAUUUACAUUAUAAUUAAUUAACCUCUCACGCGGAUCAAAUUAAACCGGUCAAAGAAAUCUUGGACGUUGAUUAAUUUGUCAGUACUUGAUUGAUUAUUUUACUCUUCUUUACCAUGUCAUUACAUUAUAAUUAAUUAACCUCUCACGCGGAUCUCACGCGGAUCAAAUUAAACCCUCUAUAGUUACACUGUUGCCGAGUGCCGACACACAUCUUAAAAUUUUAUAGAUAUAUAUAAUUUAAUAAUAGUUUAAUAAUUAAUUACUUGGUUAUUUUCACAUUAUCUGUUUGCUACUUUGUUUGAUUGGUGAGUCAAACCGAAAGCAAUGACGAUCGAGGAAAUUUCGUCACGUAUAUGUUUACAAACUCAAAUUCUGAUGAGUUAUGAAUUGCGAGAAGUGAAUAUGUGUCGAGGUCAAUGACACAUGAAUAAUGUUUGUCGGAGUAAUUCACAAGAACUUCGACGAGGUUUUCCGGACAAAAUCUAUGUAGUCUGCCUAUCGGUUCGUCUCAUAGGGUUUGACUAAAAAAAAGAAAAAUGACUCACUACUAAAUCAUCAAUCAAAAACAUACCUGACUUUAUAAAUCCAUUCAGACCUAACAAAUAAUGAUCGAAUAUUACCAAUACAAUGGCUAGAAAAGGGUAUGGCAUAAAUGUUGGUCCAUUUUCUCUAGAAGUUCACAGAUUUGGUAUCCAAAAACUUGUAUUGCAAACAAAGCUGGAUUUCUUAUAGUUUAAACUUUACACUAUUUAUUGAAUUUAUCAGCUGUUCAUUUGAGGUUGUUCAAAACACUGUUAUAUUAUCAUAUGAUCGGAUGACACACACACUUUCUCAACGCCACGAGGUCAUCCACCUGGGUCUUAUUCGUCUAAACUCUGUUAUAUAUUUUCUUUUGUUAUUUUUUCUCAAAAAAUAUAAUUUCAGAUUGACCCAAAUAUUUGACGAUGAUGUAGAUCACCUACCCACACUUUUGUUUCCUCCUAAAAGAUAUCCACCCAACCCAAUUUUAUAUGAUUCAAUCACAAGUCGACGUCAGUAAAGUAGACUAAGUAGUAAACUUGUAAACACAGUUUAGGUGAGUUUAUUGUCGUCAAGAAAUACUUGUAAAGAUUCGAUAUUAUUCCUUGACCAAAAUAUGAGCUAUAGUAUGAAUAACUGAACAAUAUGAAACUCAGUAUUAAAUCUGUAAAUUUGUAAAUUUGAUCUCAGUAUUACAAGAUUUAGAUCUCAGUAUUAAAUCUGUAAAUUUGAAAUAAUUCCAUAUAUAGUUGAGGUUUUAUAUUCUUAGAUAACUAGCAAUUAUUUCCUAGAAUAGCUUAUGCAUAAGUUCUUUUGAUUUUUAUUAUUCAUUUUGAAUUUCAUGUCUUCUAGAAUAUCUUUUUGAGUAUUGUUUGGCAUAUAAAAUAUGGUACCAAUUAUUCCCGAAUCCCGAUCGAUCACAGAGAAUAUGAAAAAGAGUUCAAAUUCAAGUUUGAAAGAGUAUCAAGUCUGUCCGGUUCAUUGGCCAAGUGGGAUUGCGGUCUCCACCACUUCGUUAAUAUACGGUCCAUGUUUAAGCCGGUCGACCCGGGUGUUACAAGUAAACGGUAUCGUUUCACUCAGCCACAUUGCUCACAAUAGACUUCAAACUCAAUUGAGCACAAGAAUCACAACCCUUCCACUUGUAUAUUUCUUUAUUUCAUAUAGAUUCACCUAAUCCUAUUUUGAUAAAUAAUUCAUGGAAUAAAUUUAAUUUAAAUUAGCACAUGAUGCACAUAUAAUUACUCGCUUUAGGACGACGACACUGGGGAAUGGCUAAAUAUCUAGAUAAGAAAAAACGAAUUUUCAUCAUGGGCAUCGAAUUUAUAUAAUAAUGUCACACAUUAGAAUAAAAUAGAGAGCCUUUUUCAUCCACUAUAUUAACUAAUUAUUUAAAAUAUUCAGCAUGUUCAAAUAGUUACUGCAUCAUGUUAUAAAGUAUGAUAAUUAAUAUUCCUAAUCUAGAGAGAAAUAGUUCUAUAUAAAUAGUAAUAUAGUAUCUAAUUGAAUGUCAUUAAGAAACAAGAGAACGGUACCACUAAUCAUUUGUAACAAAUAAAAACCAUCGAAGCCUCAUAAAAUCAUGUGGAUCGAUGCAUCUUGCAAUACUUAAGUUACAAAAAUAAAACCCUUUAAACGUCUUUGAACCCAUUAUGUUUCUUUGAAGUUUGAACAAAGACCCAAUUUAAUAUUUUUAAUCAUAAUUAUCUUUCUUUUGUCAUCUAGUGUAGAUAUUUUUUUAAUGAAUUAUUUAGGAUAAUUUUCUUGUAAAUCAUAUGUACAUAUGAAUCUUAGUGCUCUUUUUACUAUUGAUCAUAUUCGCAAGGGUAAGUGCGUGUACGAGUGACUGUGUGAAAAAGGGAUAGCUAAGAAAAAGAUGCACACACAGACACAACUUCACGACAAAAGAUGCCGUGAAGAAUUUGGCCCAGGGAUUGCGAGAAUAAUCAACACUUGUUUGGUAUAGUGCCUUACAUGCAUCGACAUUUACAAAUCACACACUCACACACACACCCUAUAAAAAGAUCCAUCAUGAAUAAAUACAAAUGCAUCUCAAAUUGAUGAGAACCCUCGCAACAAAUGUUAAUUUAAUAUACUAUAUAUCUACGAUUGUCAUAAUUUGGUGGUAUGUAUAUCACUAAUUAUGUAAUAAAUCACAUACAGACACACACAGAGAUGUUUGCAUAUAUGUGAUGAAUAGAAAUGAAGAUGAUAUUGGGCACAAAUGACAUGGUCAUUAUAUUGUCAAAGGUAUGGGACAAUGGCAAUACAUGGGAAUGGUAUGUUUUGAUUCCAACCAACCCCAACAAGCACAACAACGACAAUUAUAAUUAAUAUAUAAUUAAAAGUUUUUGUUAUAAUGUCCUUUAUGGAAUUCUAAUUCCAAUAUUCUCAAUUAUUAGCCACAUAAAAGAAUAUAGAAUAGUAAAAAAUGCCCAUUUUCCAAAUUUCCGAAUUCAAUAACAACUACGAUUGGUUCGAUUAUAUAUGUCGUGAUAAGAAUAAAUUUCGUUUCACCAUCCUUUCGGGGUUACUGUUUCGUUCCAUAUUGUCAUGAUUUGAUUUGUUACUGUAAAUUCUUUUUCUUUUAUUGAUUAUAUAUUCCUCGUUGUGUUGCUCUUUUUUCGAAGUUAAUAGACAUUCUCACCUUCCAACACACAAAUUUUUUCUCAUUUUUUUUUAAAUUUUAUUUCAAAAAAUUAGUUUUGUGAUUUGAUAAUCUAUUGUGAAGUUCGAAUAUAUGCUUAUAUAUACAUCAAUCUAAGUUAUGGAUGACAUAUCAACUUGCUGAUUUGCGAUUCUAGUUGGUCCAGCUUUAAGUGAAGCAUAAUCUACUCUUGUGGUGUCGUUUUGUUGAUUAAGACAUUAUUUAUAAGAUAUUUUGAUUUAAUCUACUCUAACAAACUUUUCUUUAGAUUUCGUUUAUGCUUCAUUAAGUGUAAAAUAAACCUUGUUUGUUCCUUAAAUAUCAUAAGAAUUUGACGACGAGUCUGAAUUAUACGAUUCAUUUAGGCGCAUCAAGAAUCUGAAAAUGUUACGCUUCUCAUAUAAUUGGAGCCAUCGAUCAUUAGAUCCACAAAUUCAAUUACCACAAGUACAUGAAGGCAAUUCUUCAAAAUUCUUCAGUUCUUACCAUAGAGUAGUGAAUAUAAUAAACACUGAGAUCUAAAGAUCCUUAAUGUAAUCGAUCCACUUGUACUUGAACACUAUAUAUUUUAGACAAAUUAAUCUGCCUAAAUCGACCUUCCAGAUUCAACCAAAGCAAAUGAGCAUCAUCAAAAUAAAUUGUGCUAGAACCUAGAUCCUUCGAGAAGAGUUCGUAAUCCAGGUACAUACCAUAUCACUGCAUCGAGUCCAUAAUCCGUAAUCAACGUGUGAUUCUGGUGGUUUAUUAAUGCUAAUUCCAUUGAUGAAUCCGAGAUCAUUUUUUGUAUUUAGAGCCUUGAGGAUAGAUCGGCGCCAAGUAUGAAAGUUAAUUAGAUUCACCGGUAAGCUUGUGAAGAACCAGAUUCACACCGGAACUAUCAGCGGCAUGAAAAAACAAUGGAUCAAAAUUUAUUGAAACCCCAAAAAUAUUGUGUUGAUUUAUUCAUGCCCAAAGCAUAUUUAUAUCAAGCAAAUUGUGACAUGUUGCAUUAUAGUGGAUAUGGAUGUGAUCGUAUUGGUAAAAUGUCGAUGGAGAUCAUUAGAAUUGCAUUUUUUGCAUAGUUUGCAACAGUUUCGAGAAAUUUGAAAUAAAAGCUCUUUUAUCUUUCAUAUUUUAUCACAUGCUUUUGUUCAUAAAUCUUGAUUACAAAAUCAAUGUAUACUCAGCUACUUAUACCUGAAAUAUGUAUAUAGACAACUAGACAAGACCAACUUUAGAUUAUAUCAAAGAUUAAACCAUGUUAAAAGAUACACGAUAAUGUAGCAAAAUAUUCAAUCCUUACUUAAAUAAGAACAAAAAGGUUUAAUGUGGUCAAGCACAUUAAUGAAUCGUGUCUUUUAGUCUUGAGACGGUUUGAUAUCCUCUUUGAAGCAAGUUUUCACUUCGUUAGGAGUGGCAUUCGUAACAUCGGGAAACUCUCUAGUUGUUGCUGGUAUAUGCUGGUCUUGCUCAAAACAUUUCUAUUUAGAAUAAAAUAUUAUGCCUGCGUUUUAUUUGGCUAUUAUUUGCAAAAAAUGGGAGUCUAUGGGCUGGCUUCUUGGCACAAUACUCACCACAUAAGAAACUCGUCUUUUUGGGCAAUUGAGGAAAGGUCCAGUGAUCCGUGGACUUGGAAGAUGAUGAUUCACUUAAGACCAUUGGGAGAAAGGUUGUUGAUGUUAGUCAAAUUAGACCUAAGACUACUCUCUCAAAUAAGAGAUCAAUUGCAGUAUUUUAGGGUAGAAAUCCACAUAGCUCUCGUGUUCACACAAAAGACUAACAAGUUUUGAAUUAAGCUAAACAAGUAAAGAUUGCAAAUUAAACAAGUAAUUAAAAUUGAGAUGUAAAUCAAAUGGGUAAAACGUCAGGUUUAGGGAUUUCUCAGGAAAUAAAUAAAUAGUAAAUCUAGCAAAUUAAUUAGGAUUAUUUAACGAACCGUUCUAGAACUGAAAACACUAAUAAAUAGCUAACCACCUCUCGAUGCGCUAACUAACUAAUCUAAUAUCAGUAAUUCCACCUUCUCGGAUACGAAUUCCUAGAUCUAGACUAGCAUUAAACACAAGUUUGAUAUGUUCAUAAAUCUUCCUAGACCACCUCUCGAUGAAUCUAGAAAUAUUUGCUCACCUAAGGUAGUUCCAGUAACAGGUGCCCUUUCGGAUCAAAUACCUAUUAUCCUAUGAUCAAGUUCUAGUUAGCUACUCUAGAACUAGCAUUAAGAACAACCUAGAUGAAGAACUCUAUAGAUUAAUCCUAACAGUUAAUCGAUUUACUAGUUCAUCUAAAUCCCUAAUGAGAAUCUCUAAACCUAACAGGGUGAUUACUCAGACAUGAUGAAUGAAACAAACAACAUGAUUGAAUAAAAUUGUAUUAAGAAAACAAAGAAGAGAAUAGAGUUAAGAAAGAUCUUCUCUGGAGGAGCUCUCUCCAAUUAUCUCCCAAAGGUUCAAGCUCCAAAUAAUACAACAGAAUAAUAGAAUGAGAGAUUGAGAGUAGACAUGUCAAUUAGGGCCAAAGCCCGCGGGCUAGCCCGGCCCAGCCCUGAAAAACAGCGGGCUCGGGCUUAAAAAUAUAUGUCCAGAAAAUAUCGGACCUUUCGGGCUAAGCCCGUUCGGGCUAAAAAGUGUUUUUGGCUUAGCCCGGCCGGGCUCAGACUACCCCAAAAAGCUCUUUAAAAAAUAUUUUGAUCUUUUUUUUGUUAAUAUUUUUCUUUAAUUGUAAGAUUUGUUGUAAAAAAAUUGCUUGAUAGAGUUGAAAACUCUAAACAUAGUUUUUUUGUUGUAUAUUACUAUAAAUCGAAAAAGCAAAUAUUAGCUCUACUACCUAAUUUGAAUUAUUUUGAUUUUAUAUUUUAUCUAGUAUAAGUUUAAACAAUUUAUUUGGAUUAUUUAUUUGAUUUUAACUCUCUUUUUUAAAAACUAAAUUAGCGUAAGUGAAUGAGUACACACAUCAUCUUUUCUCUUUUCCUUUCUUUUGUGCCAAAUGUGUAUUUUUUUUUUUACUAUUUGCUUCUCUUCUUCCUUAUAUAUAUGUGGGUUUAACGAGUCGACCAGGUCCAAUUUUUUCUGUCAUUAUUAAUGUAAAGUGGAAAAAGAAACCAAUAGUACGUCUUAUAGAGAUAAACCACGUGCAGAAAUCUUGCAUGCAUGAUAGAUGUUUGCUUAAAUUACUAGUGAUAAGUACUUGAUUAAUGUUAUCAUUACAUUAGUUCGUGCACAUGUAGAUAAUUUUGAAUUUUUACAAACUAGAAAUUAAAGUAAUACGUGGUUUGUUGGAUCGAACUCCAUAUUAAUUGAUUUCCCAAAGUUGGUUCAACUUAAUGCCCUAGGUAGAAAAAACCACGAGAUUUCAUUACAAAAGAAAUAUGGCAUCAUAUCUUCCAGUUUACAUGAUAAAUGUUUUCUUACAUUAUCAAACUUGAUUAAUGUCAUCAUUUAGUUCGUGCACAUGUUGAUUUUUUGAAUUUUUAAUUACAAGCUAGAAAGUAGCACGUUCGUGGCUUGUUGGAUCAAAACCCAUAUUAGUUGAUUUCCAAAACUUGGUUUCAUACACCUAGUUAGAAAAAAUCACACACAUCAUCAAUACACUUAUACGCUCAACCGAUAAUAUUGUAUUUUAGCUUUGGGGUAUUUCCCGAAUUAAAUCAGAUUUCGCAUCACAUACUUCUUCUUCACUCAAGGCAUUCGCUUGAAAUCUCCAAUCAUUUCUUCUUCACUCCACUUAGCGUCAUGAUAUAUGGUGAGACAUUGGGGUUUAUAAGAAAAACUCGUUUGUGUGUUUUAGGUUUAAACCUUUGCCACUUUUCAUGUCUGAUCACGAGAAUUUUCUUAAGUUGAAAAGAGGUUAGAGCUAGCGACGAGGAACGACUAGCAGGAGCAGCCAGAUGUCACUACUUUACUACGGAAGCUAAGUAUGAAAUAAUUAGAGAACAUGUUCAAUCUUGGAGUCUUGGACCAGUAAAGAAAUUUAAGUUAUGGUCUGAAUUUGAAAAAAAAUCCAAGCCCCUAAGGCGUCAGUUUCUAUACAUAUAUCACUUUAAGCAGGAAGACAAAGAUAUUAUAUCUCUUACAUUCUCAUGACUAUACUGUUUGUUUUAUUACAAGUAUUAUGAUUGCUAAACAAAUUAUGGAAUUCUAAAAUCACAAGGCAAAAGAAGAACAACCCAAUGAAUUUUGUAUGUGUAUAAAACUAUACCCACAUGAAGAAAAAUAUUUGUCUUGUUACUGAUGACAAGCACAUUCUUUUCCUUCUACUGAAGUAGCUAGGUUUGAUGAGUUUUUAUUACUCAUGUAUCGUGUUAGGCUCUACAAGAUCUCUCCGCUUGAUCAUUAAUUUUAAAAUCUUAUUGUUAAUAUAUAUAUUUAUCGUGCUUUAGGCCAUGAGGUGGAAUUUCUAAAGAAGUUUCUGGAAUUGGUGCCCUAGAUAAGAUUCAAAUGUUCCAAAAUACAUAAAAAUUAUGAGAUGAUUCAUUAUGUAGAACGAUAAAAAAAUUCGACUAAUAUGAAUCUGAACUCUAAAAGCAUCAAAGUAUGGUAGUUUUUUUUUAUCUGUGUGGUUACAUUUUGUUGUUUAUUUAUGUAUAAUUGUUUAUGGUCUUAGCUAAAUUCAAACAUCUCGCGAAAAGUGUCAAAAGGCGAAAAAUAAGGUUGGGCAAUAGUAUGAAAUUAUUCAAAUGAGUUAACCUUACAAAUUGUAGCUAAUCACGAAAAUCAAAUCAAACAAAAAGUCUUUUUUUUUUCUAUGUUUUGUCGACCUCAAACAAAAAGUAUACAAUCUUAUAAGAAACAAAUUAUUUUAUAAACGUUUAGAUUACUAUGAAGUAAACUUUUCGAUCAAAAAAAAAACAAACAAUAAUAAAAUAUAUAAUUUUCAAAACAAACAAGAAAAUAAAGAGAAAAUUAGAUUGGGUACCACUUUUUCCACAAAAGUUUUCACUUCUACCACAUUUGAAUCCCAAUUAUCAUUCAUACCACAUUGUGUUUGUAAAAUGACCAUUUUACCCUCCAACUAGUGAGAUAAGGAACUGCGAUUGAUGUGACCUUCCGAAAUUUCUGCCGUCCUUUUUCUCUCUCCUGGCGCAUUGAUAACCGUUUUCAUCCCUCUGGCUGGUAAAACAAAGUUGUCUCCGAGUAAAUCCAGAUCUUCUCUUCAGCUCUCUGGCAGAAUAAAAUAAAGAUCAAGUUGUCUCCGAGUUAAUCCAGAUAUCUGGCUGGUAAAACCACAUCAUCCGGCGAUGGAUAAUUAAGAGAUGUUGUCCCCGAGUAAAUCCAGAUCUCUGCAGGCUGGUAAAACCAUAUCAUCUGGGAUUUAUAAUAAUAGAGCAAGCUGAUGAAAUCGGAGACGAGAUCUAGACGCAACAGAGAAUUUUCAAUCGGGGACAAGAUCUGGAGACAUCCAUUUAAUGCAGCCGCUCCCCGUUUUUCAACCGGCGUCUUACUGUAGCUCCUUCCCCUGACACAUUCCUGACGCAUGCAGAAGGGUAAAAUCGUCCAACCUCUACCACACAAACACCAAAAGUGGUAUAGAUGCUAAAUCCAUUUGCAAUGUGGUACAUUUGCUAGAAUUUUCUAAAAUUGUGGCACAUUUGGCAAAAUUCCCAAAAAUAAAUUGACAAAAUUUGAAAUUAUUUCUUAAUUGUGUAGCUAAGUGUUGUUCACGUCAUACACCUAGCCAAUAUCGAUCUAAACCCCAAUAUAAUGUUUGGUUGAGAGAUUUGAAGGGAAAAGCUAUCCGCUGGAGUGAGAUUGGAAUUCUUUGAUAGAUAGUGGAGAUCAACCCUCUUCAUAUGCUCGUGUGUAUAUUUCACUUGCAUGUGUUCAUCAUCCGUUAUAUAUUCGCCUUAUGGAUCUCUCUCUCUCUCUCUCUCUCUCUCUCUCUGGUGGUUGAGAAACGUCUAGGUUGGACCAUCUUAUCAGCUGUGUUUAGAUCUUAUUUCGUUUUCUUGUUGUGUGUCAGAGUGGUGAAGGUCAAUUUUCUAAAUUUUGUGAUAAAGCUAGUGGGCAGUGGCAGAACAAAUGUUUCUAGAGCACCCGAGUGUUGGCAAGGUGGUUGACGGCUAGGAAUGGUAAGUCGUUAGCCGAACAUUGUUCCUAAUGGGAUUCAGAUUACCUCCAAGCGCAGAGUGAAGGAUUGCUCUUUAAUUUUGGGAGGUAGGUGAAUCCGUCUUAUUAAUAUAAAAUGCUCUCUCUGACUUGAGGAAAUAUGUAUGGAUAUAGGUCCAAAACCUUUUACUCAUUUAAAAAUAAAAUAAAAAGCAAAUUAUAAUAAAACUUCUAUAAAUUAAUAAUAUUGAGACCUUUGUUCUAAAUAUCGGAUGCCUAGCCGCCUAGGCGUCCCCCUAAUCGGUGAUCGGCAGCUCUCCGCUGCGAUUUUAACCAAUUCAGACUAUUUAAUCGCUAAUCCGAUUUUGCGGCCGCUUAAUGUGUUAAACGUUGAAAAUCGUUCAAGUCAACGAUUUUUACCAAAACAAUUAAACUAAAUUUGGGCCACAGAUAAAUAAAGCCCAUAUAAUAAACUAACUAGGAACUAAGUAGGGUUAUAUAUAAGAUAAAAUUUGGAUGGUUGAUUCUUUUCUUCUCGAUGUGGGACUUUUGUUUUUGUAAGUGUAGAGACUUUCAUCUUACACGUGGAUAAGUCAAAAGUAAUAAAGUUGAAUAUAUUUAUGUUGAGUAAUACUAAUUAAAUGCAGAUAUUAAUUGAUGCCAAUUUUCUUAACAUGUUAACGUUUUUUACAUUGACCACAUACAUGUCCUGAUGUCCACAUCUAAUUAUUUAUUUUGCUAAUAUUUCUUUUACCAGUUGAAUUUUUCUUUGAACAUAUAUAUCACACAAAGUAUUUAUUUUUAACAUUACAUUAAAUUAAAAAAAUGUAUAAUAUUUAUAGAUAUUUAUUUUUAAUUUAAUAUAAAUAAAAUAAUACAUAAAACUAAGAGAAAUUGUUAAAAAUGCCCCUUUUUCAAUACCCCUUUUCAAAAAUGCCCCCUUUGAGAGUCCAUUUUUAAGUUUGCCCUCUUUUAAUUUUUAAUGACUAUUUUACCCUUAUUUGAAACAAAAUUAGGUCCACAAAAUACAAAAUAUUUUUUGGCGGGAAAAGUGAUCCCGCAAUUUUCCCGCCAAAACACUUGUAAAAACCUUUAAAAAACCUUGUAAAAUUUUCCUGUAAAAAUUUUCCCGCCAAAAAAAUUUUUUUGCAGGAAAAGUGAUUCCGCAAUUUUUUUUGUGAAAUUUUUUUGGCGGGAAAAUUUUUGGCGGGAAAAAUUUACAAGGUAUUUUAAAGGUUUUACAGAGUAUUUACAAGUGUUUUGUAAGGUUUUACAAUGUAUUUUAAAAGGUUUUACAAGGUACUUAUAAGGUUUUAUAAGGUAUUUAUAACUUGUAAAACCUUAUAAAAAACUUGUAAAACCUUAUAACUUGUAAAAACCUUAUAAAAUAGCUUGUAAAAUCUUAUAAAUACCUUGUAAAUACGUUGUAAAACCUUUUAAAAUACAUUGUAAAACCUUAUAAAUACCUUGUAAAAAACCUUUAAAAUACCUUGUAAAUUUUUGGCGGGAAAAAUUUAACGCCAAAAAAGUUGCGGAAUCACUUUUCCCGCAAAAAAAAAUUUUUGGCGGGAAAAAGUUUUACGGGAAAAUUUUACAAGGUAUUUUAAAGGUUUUACAAGUUUUUACAAGUGUUUUGGCGGGAUCACUUUUCCCGCCAAAAAAUAUUUUGUAUUUUGUGGACCUAAUUUUGUUAUAUUUCCUUAUAUAUUUGUGAUAUCUUUUAUUAAAAGAAGGGUAAUUUAGUCAUUUUGUACAUAAAAAGGGGUAUUUUUAAAAAUGGACAGCCAAAUGGGGCAUUUUUGAAAAGGGGUAUUAAAAAAAGGGCAUUUUUGUGAGUCUCCCUUCAACUAAUCCCGAUUAAACCCCGUGUAAUCUCCGAUUUUUUAGCUAGACGCUAGGCCCACCUCCACCGCCCGACUAGCGCCUAGCGAUUUUUUAAACAAGGAUUGAGACUAUAAUAUUUUAUUAAUUUAUACAGAUAUUUGUUAUAAUUGUUUAAAUUAUAGAAAAAUAUGAGUUGAGAAAAUUUGAUAUAUAUAUAUAUAUAUAUAUAAUUAAUAAUUUAGAUGUUAUAAUUUUGUUGUAUUAGACUUACAAAUUUAAUAUUUCGAAAAAACUCAUAAGAAAGACAAUAAUUGUCUUUUAUAUACAAUAAAAAAGACUUAUACAAAAAAUUAAAUUUAUGAUCAAUGACCUUAACUAUCAUAUUUUAAAAGUCUAUAAGACUAUUAAAAUAAAAAUGAUGCAUACUAAUAAAUUAGAAACUUACAAAAAAGUAUGGCUUUUUAUUAUGAAGUUAUAAUUUUUAAAGCAAUACUACAAUAUGAUAGUUGAGGUUAUUGAUCAUAAGUUUGAAAACUCUACCUCUUUCUAACAAAUGACAGUAGAGUGUAAAAAAAUGUUAUUUCAUUACUUCAACGGCCUUUUUUGAAGAAAAAGGAAAAUAGAGACUGAAAUCGUAAAUUAUAUAUUAUUAAAAAAAAAAAAAAAAAAAAAGGAAGUGAAUGAGCGUAAAAGACUCAAAAGAGGUAACAAAUGGCGAGAGGGUAAAUGGUAAAAAAGCAAAAAACGGGGAAAGAGUUUGUUUACUUUUUUUAUUAAUAAAAAUAAUAAAAGCUUAUUUAUUUCCUCAAACAAAAAAAAAAAAUCCCAAAUAAUUGAAAAAAUAAAUUAAAUAAAAUCAGUUACAGAGGAGCACAUCAUCGUGUUCUUCUUCGACUCGGCGAAUCCAAAAAAAGACGCUUGCUUCAUCGCCGGCGUCUCUGUAUCACACUCCGGCGAGUCUUUCACGUUUCUUUUCGAGUACGUGAUUUUUAUCAUCGUCGUUAUUAUUUGUUUCCUUGCGAUCGAUGAAACUUAUAUAUAUAUAUAUAUAUUUGACCUAAAUUCAGAUUUGGUUAUUGAAUCCGUUGAUUGUAAAAUUGGAGAAAUCUUACUUACCGCUUAAAGAUUGUUUCUUUUUCGUUACCAAAAAAAAUUGCUCCUUUUUUUAUGAUUGUUUAGAGGAAUGCAAAACUAUGGUGAUUGAUUAAAUCGUGUGACAAUCGAAAAGUUGAGGACUUGCAAGGAUUCGAGAGAGAGUCUAAAAUGGAGCACCAAGAAGUUGCUGAUUCGAAAACGGAUCCUCUUUGCAUUUCUCAAUUGAAAAUAUCUUCUUCUCUCGACCCAUUGCCACAGGCGAACAUGACAGCGGAUUUAUUGAAGAGUCAUAGACAUUCACCUAUAAAAGGUAUCUCUUUUUUACUUCCUCUGGAUGAUAUUGGUUAACUUGUGUUAUACGUGUGUUUAGAGAACUUUUCUUUCUAUGCAGUGCAAGGGAGUGAAGAAACUUGGGGAGUAGAAGAUGAUGAUGACCUCACUGACCCUAAUUUUGAUACCGUUGAGGUAUUCAUCACUUUAUAUGUCUCUGUUUGAUGUUCAACAUUUUAUAUAUACAAGAGAUCUGAAUUGAGAUUUAACUUCUUUUUCCAUCAGGGCAAUGGACAUUCAGAUCCAACUAGCUGCUUCGAUGCUGAUUUAAGUGAGUACAAAAAGAAGGCCACGGUAAUUGUGGAGGAAUACUUUGGCACCAAUGAUGUUGUCUCAGUUGCUAAUGAACUAAAGGAGCUUGGAAUGCCUGAGUACCGUUAUUAUUUUGUCAAGAAAUUAGUCUCCAUGGCUAUGGAUAGACAUGACAAAGAGAAAGAAAUGGCUGCUUUUCUGCUGUCUACGCUUUAUGCCGACGUCAUUGAUCCCCCGGAAGUUUACAGAGGUUUUAACAAACUGGUGGCUUCUGCUGAUGAUUUAUCUGUAGAUAUUCCCGAUGCAGUUGAUGUUCUUGCUGUCUUUGUGGCUCGGGCAAUUGUUGACGACAUUCUUCCACCUGCGUUUCUGAAGAAACAAAUGAAAUUGCUACCAGAUAACUCCAAAGGUGUUGAGGUUUUGAGAAAGGCCGAGAAGAGCUAUCUAGCCACUCCGCUUCAUGCUGAAGUUGUUGAGAAGAGAUGGGGAGGGACUGAUAAUUGGACUGCUGAGGAUGUGAAAGCAAGAAUAAACGACUUGUUGAAAGAGUAUGUCAUGAGUGGAGACAAAGAAGAAGCUUUUAGAUGCAUCAAAGGAUUGAAAGUUCCUUUCUUUCACCAUGAGAUUGUCAAACGAGCACUGAUUAUGGCAAUGGAAAGGCGAAAAGCUGAAGUCAGGCUGCUAGAUCUGUUAAAAGAAACGAUUGAGGUUGGUCUCAUAAACUCCACUCAAGUAACAAAAGGGUUUAGCAGAAUCAUUGAUUCAAUUGAAGAUUUGUCUCUUGACAUACCAGAUGCACGCCGUAUAUUACAGUCUUUCAUCUCUAAAGCGGCUUCUGAAGGAUGGUUAUGUGCUUCUUCUCUGAAAUCACUCUCCGCUGAUGCAGGAGAAAAGUUACUUGAAAACUCCAGCGCCAAUGUUUUUAAAGACAAGGCGAAGUCGAUCAUCCGAGAGUAUUUCCUUUCAGGUGACACUUCAGAGGUCGUACAUUGUCUAGACACCGAAUUGAAUGCAUCUUCGAGUCAGCUACGCGCAAUCUUUGUCAAAUAUCUGAUAACUCUAGCAAUGGACAGGAAGAAAAGAGAGAAGGAGAUGGCUUGUGUGCUCGUCUCUACUCUUGGUUUCCCUCCAAAAGAUGUCAGAAACGCAUUCUUGAUGCUCAUAGAAUCUGCAGACGACACGGCUUUGGACAACCCAGUGGUUGUUGAAGACCUUGCCAUGUUCUUAGCCAGAGCUGUGGUUGACGAGGUGUUAGCUCCACGGGAUUUGGAAGAAGUGUUAAACCAGACUCCCGAGGCAGGCUCAAGUGUGGGAGAGAAAGUGAUUCAAAUGGCGAAAACAUUGCUGAAAGCACGUCUUUCUGGUGAAAGGAUCUUACGUUGCUGGGGAGGAGGAGGAAUUGAGACAAACUCGCCAGGAUCCACAGUGAAGGAAGUGAAAGAGAAGAUCCAGAUUCUUCUAGAAGAGUAUGUCUCUGGUGGAGACCUCAGAGAAGCUAGUAGGUGCGUGAAGGAACUGGGAAUGCCGUUUUUUCACCACGAAGUAGUGAAGAAGUCAGUAGUGAGGAUCAUAGAGGAGAAGGAGAACGAGGAACGGUUAUGGAAGCUACUAAAAGUGUGUUUUGAUUCAGGACUAGUGACGAUAUAUCAGAUGACUAAAGGGUUUAAAAGAGUUGAUGAAUCGCUUGAAGAUCUGUCUUUGGAUGUCCCUGAUGCUGCGAAAAAGUUUUCAAGUUGCGUGGAAAGAGGCAAGCUUGAAGGGUUCUUAGACGAAUCAUUCGCUUCUGAGGAAUCACAAAGUAAGAAACAGAACGGCUCGUCUUCUUCGUCUGGAUGAUAACAUUUGAGCACCAAACCUCAAACCUCGAGACGUUGGUUUCACGCAAAAUCACCUUUUGAAAUUCUUUUUUUUUUUUAUAAACAAACUAAAAAAGUUUUGGUGACGUUUCUUACAGAACAAACUAUCUUAUCUUAGUGACGUUUUGUUAUAGCACAUUACUUUAUGACUUGUUUCUUUUUUUGUUCCUUUGUCAAUGAUCACAUUUGUUUUGCUAAUAUUUUUCUUCUAGUGUUUAACAAUAAAUACUUUUUUCUGUUUUAUUCUAUGAUAUUAUCCUCUCUUAAAAGCUGGACAAACCCCACGGCCACGAGUCUUCCAGCUAAGACUUUUUUUAGUUCCCAAAAGAUCAUUGAUCGAAAUUGGCGCUCCUUUUUAUUUUAUCUUCUCUGUUUUUACAAAUCCGAAGAACAGAGUUCGUUGCUCCUUUUGUUUUCUUUAAAACAAAGUCAAGAUUCAGAUACAUACUCUCUGAUCAUGUCGAUACGAAGACGAACUUUACUCAAAGUUAUCAUUCUUGGAGACAGCGGGUUAGCUUAAAUUUUUCGCUUUUUUUUUUCUACCUAACUUUUUUUUUUAUGUUUGAUCUUAUAAUCAUUCUCUUGUUUUUUUUUUUUUUCUGGUACAAAUAAUAUCUCAGGGUUGGCAAAACAUCGUUGAUGAAUCAGUAUCCUAACCAAAUCUUUUCUUUGGUUUUUCUUCUUUUCGUAAUUUCGAUUUUUGUAGCUGCCGGUGAAAAAAAAAAAAACUUAGCUGUUCUUUUGUGUGUGUAGAUAUGUGAAUAACAAGUUUAGUCAGCAGUACAAAGCUACGAUCGGAGCUGAUUUUGUAACUAAGGAGCUUCAAAUUGAUGACAGGCUUGUCACAUUGCAAGUGAGGUUUUUUGUUUUUGUUGUCAGUUUUUUUUCGAGUUUAUAAUGAAUUCUAACUAACUCCUUUGUGCUUUUUUUUUUUUUCUUUUUUUCUUAUAUAUAUAUAGAUAUGGGACACUGCUGGGCAAGAAAGGUUUCAAAGUCUUGGUGUUGCUUUCUAUAGAGGUGCAGAUUGUUGUGUUCUUGUCUAUGAUGUCAAUUACUUGAAGUCGUUUGAUUCUCUCGACAAUUGGCACGCCGAGUUUCUUAAACGGGUUCUUUUUUUUUUUUGCUUUCUCCAUCACAUUUUCUCUUUUCCAAAGAUUUCUUUCUUUUAGUGACUGAUAUAAUCGUUUUUGUGGAAUAUUGGCCAGGCUAGUCCUCGUGAUCCAAUGGCAUUCCCUUUUAUACUUCUUGGUAAUAAGGUUGAUGUUGAUGGAGGAAAUAGCCGAGUGGUAAGUUCUUAUUAGUCUUAAGCCUUUUAUCUGAAUGUAUGUGAAUUUUGAAUACUCCAUUUGUUUCAUCAAGAAGAUACAAGUCCUUGUUUGCUAUAUUCCUUUCUUUGUGUUUAGGUAUCUGAGAAGAAAGCUAGAGAAUGGUGUGCUGAAAAAGGAAACAUUGUCUAUUUCGAAACAUCGGCUAAAGAGAAUUAUAAUGUCGAUGACUCUUUCUUGUGCAUCACAAAACUUGCCCUUGCCAAUGAACGCGACCAAGAUAUGUAAGUGUACUUAAACCUCUUUCUUUUGGUGAUCCUCUCACUUUGUGGAUCUCCUAAACUAGAGCUGAAAAACCCGAAUCUCUCAAUUUAUAAUCUUUUUUUUUGGUUACAACUCAGAUAUUUCCAAGCAAUUCCAGAGACUGGUUCGGAGUCUGAACAAAGAGGAGGUUGUGCUUGCUGAAGAAACAUUUUUUUCUUACUCUCUUGAUUUAUGCAUUACUUGUUGUGUGUGUGUGUGUCUAAAAUCUUGACCAAAAACUUGUAUGAUUUUGGUAUUUGUUUGCAACAGUUCAAGUGUAUACAUGUAAUGGUACUCUUUAAUCUGUCUUCUUUAUGUAAUGGGAACCAUGUGAUGAAGAGUCCGGUUCAAUCGCACUAAACCGAAUCCGUUUCGGUUUGAAAUAUCAGUUAGCAAUUUGGCGGUGACGUGGCGCAUCCUUCCCCACUUGUUUCGCUCCUUGUUGAAUCUAUCGAAUCGUCGUCAAUGUCAUCAACGCUUUUCGAUUUCGCUUCCUCUCGUCUCUCUCUGUGGUGUUAACAAUGGCGACGAAUAGUUUAGUAACCGGACUAAAAGUGACUUUACCGGUUAUGUUCUGUGUGAUGCUCGCGACUCUUGUCUACACCAUUAUCACCGAUGGCCUUCCUUUACCUGAUCGUCAUGAUGUCUUCACACCGUAAAACCCAUUUCUCUCUUUCUUCAUUUUCACACAGAGAUACACAGAUAUGUGUGUAUUCAUGUUCGUUUCGUUACGCUCUUUUUUCAGAUGGUUCGUUACGACAAUUCUGGAUUUCUACAUUAAUAUUGUACCUAUAGCGGUAUGUUUAAAUUGAUAUAUAUUCUUCCAGAUUCUUGAUGAACCUUAAAGUUUUAAUCUUUGACUUGUUUAUCAUCUGAAUUCAGGUUUGGAUUGUGUAUAAGGAGUCUACAUGGUCUGGUUCAAUACUUUGGACCAUUUUGCUCUUAAUUUUUGGCAGGUAUCAUCUUUUUUCUUGAACCAUUUCAUAGACGACAUUAUUAUGAAUUUGUUGUAAUUUUUUUUUGUCUUUUUUUUGGUUUUAAGCCUCACUACAUGUGUGUAUGUGUUUCUGCAACUUCUCAAACUGACAAAUCAAGAAGCUUCAGAAGAUCCUAUGUACUAUUUGUUACUUCGAGAUUCAAUCAAGUAUGUGUUUUUCAUUUGUUUUGACUUGUUUUCUCUGUUUUUAGUUCAGCUUCAUUAUAAUAUCUCAUUAAUCAUUGAUAUUAGUUUGAUUAGUGGCAAUAAUGAUCCAUGAGAGAAUCAUAAUCUGCUGUAUAGUUUGUGGAAUUCUAGACCAAUUUGAUUAAUGACGUAAAUCUGUUCUUGUUAGGGAUGGAGUUGGUCUGAGAGACAAGAAUUCACUUGUUGUCACUGCAAGAUUUGUGUUUGGUGCCUUAGGAUGUGUGAUGCUAGGAGCUUUGAUCUACACUUGCUUCACUUAUGGUUCUCCUUUCCACAUGGAGCUCCUAUACCCGUGAGUUUAAAUUUCUUUCUACAUUUUUUAUGUGUUUGAAUCAUCUGUCUCUUGCUUUGCUUUAUUCAUUGGCUAAAUCUUCCCAACAGGUGGAUGGUGGUUUUAUUGGUUAACUUCUACAUUAAUGUUGCAGUCUUAUCAGUAAGUCCCAAAUCUUGAACACUAGAUUAGUAAAAGCCUUUUAAAGUUAUAUAAGCUCUGCAAUAACUGGGGUUGUUACAUAUUUUGAGUCAUUUACUUGUUUAUUUCAGGUUUGGGUUGUCUAUAAAGAAUCUAGUUGGAUCGUUGGAAUUCUCUGGGUUGCUCUAUUGAUAGGUCUUGGCAGGUACAAUUCUGUCAAAGUCUUUAUCUCUUUGAUGGACAAGGACAUUUUUCCAUUCAUGUUUUGUUUAAUCUUUUUCAGCGUUGGCACGAGCGUAGCCAUUGUCGUGCAGCUAUUCCGUCUAUCUCCUCUCGACCCGCUCUACCUCGUUCUGGUGAACAACAGCAAUCGGUAAGCUUGGAAUAUGGAAACAAAAAAAAUCUUUAUCUAAGAAAGAUUGAUGAUUUUAGAUACACAAAGCAGCUUUUGAAACAUAAGUCUUAUAAUAUUUUUUUUUUCACAUUUUAAUCUUUGGUUGGAGGAAGCAAAGUUAAAAGUAAAGGCUAAGUUAGUGAACUCUCUCAUGGGUCAUGGCAGGGCUGGAGAUAUGUAUGAGCGCACUCAUUCUGCGGUUUUGCGUAUGUGAAGCUUUGUGAUUUCAUUUUUACUUUUCACCACAAAAGUUCAAAGAAUUUAUUAUCUACUUGACUACAUUACAAGUUUGUAUGUUCCAUAGUUUUCUUCUGUAUAUAAUUUCUCUUAUGUGAGAAAACAAUUACUUAUGUAAUCAACUUUUUUUUGGGUCAUGACUUGAAAACACACAUGGAUUGAGACUUUUUGGGCCAUUUGAUGACAUAUUUUAGUUUUGUCUAAAAAAAGAAUUGAUCUACCUACAUUGGAUGCCACAAUUACAAUCUUCAAAAAUUAUUAUUUUUUUUUUUGAAUAAAAUGUAAAAUUUAUUCGAAAAAAAAACAUUUUUACAUAAAGUGCAACAAUUGAUUAAAAGUUUUGUAUACAUCUCAUAAGGCUUCUUUUCUUUUAUGCUUAUCUUGGAGUAAACCAAACUUCCAUACAUCUAUUAUAUAUUCUAUCUUCUUGUUCAAGUAUCGAGGAGAUCCGAUUUCGAACAUGUUUGUCGAGAUUACGAAGCAGUUGCGCUGGUGAUUCCCCAAUCUUCAAAAACCAACGGAUGUGUUUUACAAACUACUGUAUCAUUUUGUUACUCCAUCAUUUUUAACAUACCAAUCAUAAUCAUUUUUCUAUUUUAAUUAAAAACAUUACAUGACAGUCAUGAUAUACAAUGAAAAUAGAGAAUCUUUAUAUGUCAAAAACAUAGUAAACUCUCGUUUAGUCAAAAUCUUUGAAGAACUCAAUAUAAUGUAUUGCAAUCCGAUCCAUAUGAUCCGGUCAAAGAAUCCAAAAUAGUUUAAUUAUCCUAUUUAUAGUAAUGUAGAUGGAUUUUAGUAGCUAUGACAAAAUCAAGAGUCGCAAUCUCGACUCCUAAAAAUACAUGGAUGCCCAUUUUUUAAUCCAAUCUAGACUAAUAAAAUCUUGAAUCCAUUAUGUGGAUGGAUAUUUAAAAGGAGUUUGUAAUCUAGAGAAAUAAAAGGAUCAUGAUUUUUAAUAGGUUAUUUCGUAGUAUUAUUAAACCUAUUUACAUCAUAAACACUAGCUGAUUUAAUCUAAACUAAACUAAAAAUCACCAAUUCAUUUAUCAUAAUCCAAUAUCUGGUCAAAAGAGUUUAUAAAUAGUUUCAUGUUUUUGUUCAACGGCCUGUCCACCCUGGAAACGGCUUAGCCGGAGGUAGGGUCCAGCGGCUAUAAAUAGUAAUGUAGAUUGAUAUCUUAGCUAUGACCAAAUCAAUAGUCGCAAGUUCUGCUCCCAAAAAUUAGGUGUUCAUCUUUUACUCCAAUCAAAAACAUAAAAAUCACAAUCACGAUCCUAAAUAAAUGUUAAAUGAAUUUAUUGGAUUUUAUUUAUAAAUUAUAAUCAGCUCGUAAAACCUCUCAUUGGUUACAUUAUUAGAAAAUAAUUAGGAUUUGUGUGCGUAAUAGCCUUAAAAAAGCGUGUGUUUUUUGAUGAAUCAAUAAAUUUAAUGUUGCUUUCGGUAUACUAAAAAAAAAAAAAAUUAGUACAUUUUUGAUGUGGGGAACUAAAAUAAAAUCUCUGUAAAAAACAUAAGCGAUAAUAAAAGUAAACAUAACUUAAAACUGCGACCAGUUCUUAUUAUCAAAGAUGCAUGAAAUACAUGCUUUUUGGGUAAUUAUUAUCAAAUAAUUACUUAUGUAAUCAACUUUUUGGGUCAUGACUUUAAAAACUUGUGGAAUGAGACUUUUUGGGCUAUUUGAUGACAUAAUUUAGUUUUGUCUAAAAAAAGAACUGAUGUACCUAGAUUGGAUGCACAAUUACAAUCUUCAUAAAUCAACGGAUGUGUUUUACACACUACUGUAUUAUUUUGUUACUCCAUCAUUUAACAUACCAAUCAUCAUCAUUUUUAUAUUUAAAUUAAAAAAUUACAUGCUAGUAAUAAUGAUAUACAAUGAAAAUAGAGAAUUUUUAUAUAUAAAAAACAUAGUAAAUUCUCGUUUAGUCAAGAUCUUUGAAGAACUCAAUAUGGUGUGUUGUAAUCCGCUCCAUAUGAUCCGGCCAAAGAAUCCAAAAUAGUUUCAUAUCGCUGUUUAUUAUAGUAAUGUAGAUAGAUUUUAGUAGCUAUGACAAAAUCAAGAGUCGCAAACUCGCAAUCUCGACUCCUAAAAAUACAUAGAUGCCCAUUUUUUACGCCAAUCUAGACUAAUAAAAAUCUUGAAUUCAUAUAUGUGUACGGAUAUUUAAAAGGAGUUUGUAAUCUAGAGAAAGAAAAAGAUUCCAUUAUCCAUGAUUUUUAACAGGUUAUUUCGUAGUAUUAUUAAACUAUCUACAUCAUAAACAAUAAUUGAUUUAAUCUAAAGUAAACUAGAAAUCACCAAUUUAUUUAUCAUAAUCCAAAAUCUGGUCUUUUUUUUCUUUUUCAUCAAUCCAAUAUCUGGUCAAAAGAGUUUAAAAAUAGUUUCAUGUUUCUAUAAAUAGCAAUGUAGAUUGAUAGCCAUGACCAAAUCAAUAGUCUCAAGUUCUGCUCCCAAAAAUUAGGUGUUCGUCUUUUACUCCAAUCAAAAACAUAAAAAUCACAAUCCUAAAUAAAUGUUAAAUGAAUUUAUUGGAUUUUAUUUAUAAAUUAUAAUCAGCUCGUAAGACCUCUAAUUGAUUAUAUUAUUAGAAAAUAAUUAGGAUUUGUGUGCCUAGUAGCCUUGAAAAGCAUGUAUUUCUUAUGAAUCAAUAAAUUUAAUGUUGCUUUCGGUAUAUAAAAAAAAACACAAUUAGUACAUUUUUGAUGUGUGGAACUAAAAUUAAAUCUCUGUAAAAAACAUAAGCGAAAAUAAAGGUAAACAUAAUUCAAAACUGCGACCAGUUCUUAUUAUCAAAGAUGCAUAAAACACACGAAUUAGUAGUUAUUAAUAGUAAAAAUCAAGUGACAUGUGUGUUUUAUAUUAAAUCGUUAAUUGUUCGGAUUUAUAGGCUUGCUGGUUAUGUAUAAAUAUGCAUACACACUCUUCACACUAAUUCAAUUUUAUCCCUCUUCACUCCUCUCGGUAAUUGGAGGAAACUAAAAAAGGAAAAAAAAAUCUAAAUAAGAAUAAAAUUCCUAAAAAAUAAAUAAAAUCAAAAAUUUUGAAGAAACAAAUCCUCGAGUUAUGGUGUUUACAUAAAAUCUCUUUCUCACUUAAAACCCUUAGAGAAACAAAUCAUCGAAUCUUUGUUUUUUUAGAAUCAGUGAUUUUGUUUCCUUUCACGAGACGAAAUAACAAAUCGUCUUGUAAAAAGUAAACUCAUAAUCAUGGCGGCGGCGGUUGCGACGGGUGUCGCACCGGCAACAAUGGUUGAUCAAAUUCCGAGUCCGACGGCUCAGACUUCGGUUCAGGUUCCGGUUUCGAUACCUGCUCCAUCUCCGGCAGCGGUUGCCGAUCAAACACAUCCCAACUCGUCGCUCUAUGCGGGAGAUUUGGACCCAAAAGUGACUGAAGCGCAUCUGUUCGAUUUGUUCAAGCAUGUCGCUAAUGUUGUUUCGGUAAGAGUUUGUCGUGACCAGAAUCGUCGAUCCUUGGGAUAUGCCUACAUCAAUUUCAGUAACCCUAAUGAUGGUAAGUACAAUUCUAUUUUGCUUGAAUUGCAAGUUAGGGUUCAUAUCUUGAAAACGUAAAUAUAUUAUCGUGAAUUCAUAACAAUAAAGAGAAACACUAUGAUUUGCUUUGUUUCAGUCUCGUUUUUUUUAUUAGUCCUGGUAAUUAAUUAUGAUAAGUAUCAUGUUUUUGUGAAUCAUCUUAGAUGCUAUUAUUUGUCUAGAAAUUAACAUAUACAAUGUUUCUGCUACAUUGAUAUAUAUCGAUUGAAUAUCGAAGCUACAAUAUUUAUAGAAUUAUGCAUCAGUUCAAAACGUGAUUAAUCAAAACGUGAUUAAUUUGUUUGAAAAUUCUCUCUUCCAAUACCCAUCACAUCGUAGAAACUAUACAUAUUUGUGCAUUUAUAAAUUUCAUAGAUGAUCUUAUUUGCUUAUCGAUUUAUAUAGAUAUGUUUAACGUGAUUUAUAUUUUUGCAGCUUACCGAGCAAUGGAGGCUUUGAACUACACUCCCCUCUUUGAAAGGCCCAUUCGGAUCAUGCUCUCGAACCGUGAUCCGAGCACACGAUUGAGCGGCAAAGGAAACAUUUUCAUCAAAAACCUUGAUGCUUCAAUCGACAACAAGGCAUUGUUCGAGACGUUUUCAAGUUUUGGAACCAUCCUCUCAUGCAAAGUUGCAAUGGACGUGACUGGCCGGUCCAAGGGGUAUGGAUUUGUCCAGUUUGAGAAGGAGGAAUCGGCUCAAGCUGCAAUUGACAAGCUAAACGGGAUGCUAAUGAACGACAAGCAAGUCUUUGUGGGACACUUCAUCAGACGUCAAGAACGUGCUCGUGAUGAAAACACCCCUACACCGCGUUUCACUAAUGUGUACGUCAAGAAUCUCCCCAAGGAGAUUGGUGAGGACGAGCUACGAAAAACGUUUGGUAAAUUUGGAGUGAUAUCGAGCGCGGUUGUAAUGAGGGACCAGAGCGGGAACUCGAGGUGUUUUGGGUUUGUGAACUUUGAGUGUACUGAAGCAGCGGCUUCCGCGGUUGAGAAGAUGAAUGGAAUUAGCUUAGGGGAUGAUGUGUUGUACGUUGGGAGGGCUCAGAAGAAGUCUGAGAGAGAAGAAGAGUUAAGAAGGAAGUUUGAGCAGGAGAGGAUAAACCGGUUUGAGAAAUCUCAAGGAGCGAAUCUGUAUUUGAAGAAUCUUGAUGAUAGCGUCGAUGAUGAGAAACUCAAGGAGAUGUUCUCUGAAUAUGGAAAUGUAACAUCUUCCAAGGUAAUAAUAAAAAGUCAUACAUACAUUAAUAAAUAUAGGUUGUUGAUGGUUUUCCUUGACAUAAUCCUUUAACUAAAUGUAGGUUAUGCUUAAUCCACAAGGAUUGAGCAGAGGAUUUGGUUUUGUUGCUUAUUCUAAUCCUGAAGAAGCUUUAAGAGCAGUGAGUUUCUAAAAUUGUAAUAUAUUUUUCUGUUAUCGUUCGUCUCUUUUGAUAUAUGAGAGAUUAUUAUAUAUGACAAUGCAGCUGAGUGAAAUGAAUGGGAAGAUGAUAGGAAAGAAACCACUAUACAUAGCUCUUGCGCAGCGCAAAGAAGAUAGACGAGCACACUUACAAGUUUGUUAAAUCUCUUUACAUAUUAAAAAAAAAAUGGGUUUGUUAUAGUUGUGUUGUGACUAAGUAUAUACGUUUGCUAUUUUCAGGCGCUAUUUUCACAGAUAAGAGCACCAGGGCCAAUGUCGGGGUUCCAUCACCCGCCAGGUGGACCAAUGUCGGGUCCACCCCAGCACAUGUACGUAGGCCAGAACGGAGCAAGUCUGGUCCCGUCCCAGCCCAUUGGAUAUGGAUUCCAGCCUCAGUUCAUGCCCGGGAUGCGUCCAGGUUCUGGCCCGGGCAACUUCGUCAUGCCUUAUCCUCUUCAGAGACAACCUCAAACCGGUCCUCGUAUGGGAUUCAGGCGUGGUGCUACUAACAUGCAACACCACAUCCAACAACAACAAGUAUGUUAACUAAACUGAGUUUGUUUAAUAGUUUUCAACAAUCAUGAAACUGAAUUGGAUUGGAUUGACAGCUUAUGAACCGUAACCCGACCCCGGGAAUGAGAUAUAUGAACGGUGCGGGUAACGGGAGGAACGGAAUGGAUUCGAGUGUUCCGCAAGGAAUCUUGCCUCCAAUCAUGCCUUUGCCAAUAGAUGCUUCUUCAAUUUCUCACCAGAAAGCUCCUCUCCUUCCAAUAUCUAAGCUCACUUCUUCUUUAGCUUCUGCUAGUCCAGCUGAUCGCACUCGGGUUUGUCAUUUUUCUUUCCAUCUCAGCUAAACAAUUGUUUAUUUGCGUUUGCUUUUACAUUUGGUGUAUAUCUUUUGAAUAAUAAACCCAUAACUUUAAACCUCUUAUAAACAUGUUCUGUCAAUUGUUAAUGCAAAAACCAAACGCAAAGACAUCUGGACUUUUUUUUUUUUUUUUUUUUUUUGGGCAAAACAUCUGGACUUUAAUUUACAAAAUAUUUUUCGAAAAGCUGAAAAUGUUUUUGGUGAAUUUUGUUUCUUAACAUUAAAUGUUUGAAAGAAUUAUGGUCUUAUAAUAAUUAAAUAUAAGUUAAAAUCACAUAAAUAGUUAAUAAAGAUUGGCAUAUUUAUUUAUUUUAGUUUUGUUUUUUUGUGUACCUAGUGGCAUAUUUAUUUGUUUACUGAUUUUUAUUAAAACUAAUUGGUUGGGUACAGAUGCUUGGAGAGCAACUUUACCCACUUGUGGAAAGGCACGAACCACUUCACGUGGCUAAAGUCACAGGAAUGUUGUUGGAGAUGGAUCAAGCCGAGAUCCUGCACUUGAUGGAGUCACCAGAGGCACUCAAGUCUAAAGUAUCUGAGGCUUUGGAUGUUCUCAGGCUAUCUGUUGAUCCACCUGAUCAUGAGCUUGGUUUCUCUACCACCUGAACUUUGUUUUUUUCUAGUUUUGAUUUGAACUCCUUUUUUUUUUUUUUUUUUUUUGGUUUUAAGUCUUUCUUUACUCUUUAGCAGUUUUUUUAACUUAGUUUAUGGUUUUUGUGUUUUUCACUUAGUUUAUUGUGUUUAUUUCUGGACGAUGAUGAUUUCUUAAUAAUCUGCGAUUAGCUGAUUAUUAGUCUUUUUCAGAAAUCUGAAUAGACUUUUUCUUCUACAUUGUUGGAAUUCCUAACUGUACUCUAUACCUCAAUUUCCAACCUCCAAAAUAUUCUGCCUGAAAAUUAUAUAUAUGUUAUAAUACGGAAAAUCCCAAAUUGAUCCUUAAACAAAAAAAUUACAUUGUCGGACAAAUCAACAUGAUCAUUAGGCAUGUCAAUCGGGCUAGUCCGGCCCGGCCCGGCCCGGCCCGAAGCCCGCAAAACCCGUACAUAUUUGAGUCCGGCCCGGUCCGUAAAAAUUUCGAACCUAUAUUUUAAAGCCCGGCCCGGCCCUAACAGGGCUACAGAGCUUUUUUGGGCUUUUCUUCCGACAAAAAAAAACAAACUUAUAAUUUCUAAUAUCUCUUAAAAAAUCUAUAUAUGAAACUAGUCAAUCAAAAUUUAAAUAACCACUAACGCUAAUUUAGUUUUUUAAAAAAAGAAUUAAAAUCAAGUAAAUAAUCCAAAUAAAUUGUUUAAACUUAUACUAAAUAAAAUAUAAAAUCAAAAUAAUUCAAAUUAGGUAGUAGAGCUAAUAUUUGCUUUUUCGAUUUAUAGUAAUACACAACAAAAAAAAACUAAGUUCAUGGUUUUCAACUCUAUCAAAAAAAUUUUUACAACAAAUCUUACAAUUAAACGAAAUUAACAAAAAAGGAUCAAAAUAUUUUUUAAAGGUCUUUUCGAGCUAGCCCGAACCCGGCCGGGCUAAGCCCAAAAAACCCUUUAGCCCGAAAGACCCGUUUUUUUUUUACAUAUAUUUUGAAGUCCGAACCCGCUGUUUUUCAGGGCUGGACCGGACUAGCCCGCGGGCUUUGGCCCUAAUUGACAUGUCUAAUGAUCAUGAUAUCCAUGAGUGAGGAUUUUGCUAGUGUCUUAGCAUGACAUCAACUUUCUCUCACAUGUGUGGGUGGUAUGGCCAGGACGGCGGCGUAGUGAUUUGUGAUAGAGUUGUCGGUGCAAGACCACCCUGGUUAAGUCCACGUAGUGCUGUUAUUGACGAGAAAAGAAAUAUAUGACUUAUUUUCUUCUUUGAGACAUGAAUUUUCAGGUCCUAUAUGUAUCUAUUGAAAGAAAACAAAAAAACUCAACUGCAUUUCCCAAUCCCCAAAUAUCCAACUCUACUUGAAAUUUAAGUUGUUCGGUAGUCAUGGUCAUUGGUCAGCAGCAUGGGACAAUCCUUCUAUUAUGGUAGGAGUACAGUACAAGCCUUCUAUUAUGAAAUUAUUCGAAUGUGUCAUACUCAAACUUUGUGGUUUGUAUUCAAUAUGUAGUUGAUAUCAAUUAUAUGCACACAAGACUUCUUUUUUUUUUUUCUUUUUUUUUUGAGGGGUUGAAUAUAAGAGACUCUUUAUGUUUUUAUAAUUGGAAGCAAGCAAUUCAAUGAUUGUAUUUCAUAAUAAAUGUUUGAUAUGACGUUAAUUUGAAUGGUUUAUGUUGAUCGAAUAUACUUUCAGUCACAACAAGAAUCUAAAUACAAUUACUAAACUAUAUAUCAGCUGAGUUCUGACCAUACUUUAUAAGAAGAUUUAAAAAAAUGAUUGAAUAAAGAAGAGAGUGAGUGGGGUUGAUACGUGUCACCGUCCACAAUGUGUCUGACUCUGACCCUUCUCAUUGGAGCUAUACUAGCCGACCCUUUGCCUCAUCAUUUGUUGACUUCACUCACCUUUUGCAUAUUUUUUAAAUGAACUUGCUAAUGUUUCCAUUCAUUGUUCGAUUCUAGAUUGUUCCAUUCACUUUCUUUUUUCUCUUUGACGUAAUUAAGAAUAUACUAACAUAGUAAAUAUUUGACAAAAUUUUAGGAUUUAGGUUUUUACAUCUAUCUUGAGUUGAGAUAAAAAUGGAAUUAUGAUAGGUUAGGGAUUAUUUUAUGUAAAUACCACAUCUAAACUAUGACGGAUGACACACUAAACCAACAUAUCUUAUUUACUAAAUUUAGAUAUGAUCGUUAAAGAUUUUUAAAUUUAAAGUAUAAUAUAAUGAAUAAAUCAAAUUUUGAGCUUAAUUUGGUUUGAGGAUUUUCUAAAUCCCGCGUUGCAAAGAUAUUCGAUUAUAUUUUUUGUCUAUAAAUUGAUUGAUGUCACGGCUCUUUUGUCAAAAAAGUAUAUUGUAUAAUGUCAAAAAAAAAAAAGGUAUAUAAAUUUAUAAUAGAGUAAUACUUGAAGAAAAAUAAUAGCAUUUUCAAAGGUUGUAUUGACAAUGAAAGGGGUAAUGAAUAUCUCGCUUGCUAAACCACAAAAGAAUCAAUUCAUUGGACUAUAACUUAAACAUAUAAUAUAUCUACCGAAAUGUCUACAAUUUGUGAAUGCGACUUUUCAAAAAGUUUUAGAAUUUUAUAAAAUUUUCUCCACUAUAGUAUUACUUUAAUAAAAGAUUGCUAAUAAAAUGAUAUCUUAAUUCACAACAAAAAAGUAGGCAAAGUAGCUUUAUUAGAAAACUAAAUGGUUUUUUUUUUUUUGUUAAUGGUAAAUCAUAAACCUAAAUUUAAGCUAAUUGCAAAACGCGUUUACUAUGAUCAGCAUGAUACAUCAAUGUAACAAUUUAACGUCUUGAUUAGUAUCUAAUUAGUAAAUUAUCCUCAAAAUUACAAUUUGACAUAAAAAAAUAUAUUUGUUUUACAAGCAAUCACAGUGAAAAAUAGAUUGUUUUCUCUUAAAUUACAAUUAUUUUUUAGCCCAGUUACAUAACUGCACGUAUGGUUUGAGACUUUGAGCCCAUCACAUUACAUGGUACAUGACCAAAGCCCAGUUAUGUUACCAUAUUAUUCAGACAAGAGCCGCCAUCCAGACAGAAGUGGACCACACAAUCAAGAAUCGUAUGGAGAGCAUUACAAUAUAUUGCUCGCAUCUUAUUGUGCCACGUCUCUUGGUAGGCGAGAGAUCAACGUCCACAGAUCUCUUGCUCCACUCUGGUUGGUACACGUCAUCAUAUUUAUGUUCUACUUGUUUAUGUAGACGUUCAUGUAGACAAGUGGGAAGAUUUAAAAAUAUCUUAAAGCAAGUGUGAGGCCCAUUUAGAUAUUUCUCAACGGGCUGUUCCUCAAAAGCUGCCCGUUGAUCAAACGGCUCCAAACUGUUCUGGGCAAGCUGCCCGAAAUCUUAUAAAGGAAAUUGUGGAGUGGGACUGAAUCAACGGUGGAGAAUUCGAGGGUGUACGUAACAACUCGUAGUAUCUGAACUUAGCUUCUCUCAAAAUAUCUGUGGACAUAUGUCACUAGUUUUUGUUUGUGAAAGUAUUAACUAAUUAGGCAAUCACAUGAGAGGUUGAUAUAGUAAAAUACAAUCAUGACCACAAAACUUUUAAAUAAAUAAUCUCUCUGAUUACUUCUGCAAAUUCUUUACCAAUAUUUGCCAUACUGUGAAUCUAGAGUUUUAUUUAAAAACAACUACUAUGAAUUUUUGAUAUGAUUUCAUGUUUAAGGAGAUUUAGACAGAAUUUUGGAGUAAAUCUGAGUUUACAAAAUAUAUUAUUAGGAUUAAAAACUAAUUACUUAAAUUGGUAAAUAUAUUUGUUGGUAAUUUGAAUUCGAAUUGUAAUCCAAAAACAACACUAAAACAAACUACUAGACUAUUUUAAAAAUUAGAAUUCUUAUGACUGAGUGAUGAAUCAUAUAUACUUCUUCUGUUUCUUUUUAGGAAAUUUUGUUUGUUUCAUUAUAUUUGACUUUUCCAAGUUGCUAGACAAUUUGAAUAUAGUAUAAAAUUGUUGAAUUAAUUUCAUGAUGCAUUAAAUAAUAGUUUUUCAAUUUUUGUGUGUUUUAGUAAAAAAAAAAAAUCUUAUAUAAAGAAAUGGAGGGAGUAUUAGAUGCUUAAAAAAUAAAGACAAAUAUGAUAAAAUUGUAAUUAUAGUAUGUAUGGUUAACACAAGAAUUUGAUUCGACUAAAAUUCAAAAACAACAAACUACUAAACUAUUUUUAAAAGUAGAAUUGUUUUCAUUGAGUGAUAAACCAUAUAUGAAUUGUUUAAAAAUUAAGAAAAAUAUGAUAAAAUUUUAACCAUAACAUAUAUGUGAGGAUGAUGAUGAUGGUCAUAUGGUAAUGGAGCAUAAAGGUCGUGGCAAGGCUAGGGAAUAUCGAUGACACGUAAGCGGACGGGAAAUCUUAAACCGAGUGGAGAAGCCUCCAAAUCUCUUUCUCUCUCUCUCCAAAGGCCAAAGCCACCACAAUCUCUCUUGUGUGUAUGUAUUGCUUCAGAAUCCUUUUUUGAUAUUCUUCUUCUUUUUUCUCCGAUUUUCUUCCAUCUCUCAAAAAAAUAUCCUCAAAGCUAAAAGAACAGCAAGACUAGGUGAUGAUAAUCAACAAUCUUAGGUCUUUCUUUUAUUAUGAUUUAUUUUUUCCGUGGUUUUUGCUUGAUUGAUUUGUCAGAUGAGUUUUUUUACCGAAUCAUUUGGUGUUUGGUGAAUUUUUUGUUGAUUGAUUCUCCUUGAUUUGCUUAAUUUCUCCAGUUUUGUGUUGUGUGUGUUGGUUUUCGUCACUGUUUCUACUUGCAUUUUUUUUUUCUCAGCUUAGAUUUCAUUUUUUUUUUUGUUAUCACUGAUUGAGAUUUUGUUCUUCUGAAUUGUAACAGGAAGGAGCGAAUAACAAAGACAUAGCGUUUUAAUUCAGCUUCGAUUUAGUGUACAGUGUGUUGGUAGUAUAAAAGGAGUUAAAUCUGGGUGAUGUGUAUAGAGUUUGUUCUUGCCGGCGACGACGUAUUGAUUCUCGACUGGUAGAAGAAAGGUGUUAGUUAGUUAGAUUGUGUAAAUCAAUCAUUCUAGUGAGGGAUUAGUUUCGGUUUCUGGUUUUACUUCUUCUGGAUGGCUAGUUCAUCUUCUUCAUCUGAGAGAUGGAUUGAUGGUCUGCAGUUCUCUUCCUUGUUAUGGCCUCCCCCACGAGAUCCUCAACAACAUAAGGUUAGAGCUAUAAGAUUGAAACUGGCCGUUGUGAUUUUGAUACACCAACAAUUAUUGGCAAUUCUCAUUUCCUUGUUUGAUUACUGAUUGUGUUCUCCGGUUUUUUUUCCCUAGGAUCAAGUCGUUGCUUAUGUCGAAUAUUUUGGUCAAUUUACAUCAGAGCAAUUCCCAGAUGACAUUGCUGAGGUACUUGUUGUGUGAGGCUAAAUAAUAAUAGUAUUCUCUUAGUAGUGCUGUUUUAUUCAUGUAUAAUUAUCUGUAUCAGUUGGUCCGGCAUCAGUAUCCAUCAACUGAGAAGCGGCUUUUGGACGAUGUGCUGGGUAUGAGCUUCUCUAUCAACAUUUAUGCACAGCUAUAUCCAGCAAUUCCUUUUUGUGAAUGUUCAUCUGACUUUCGCUUUGAUGAUGAACAGCGAUGUUUGUCCUCCAUCAUCCCGAGCAUGGUCAUGCAGUCAUUCUUCCAAUCAUUUCAUGUCUUAUUGAUGGCUCGUUGGUGUACAGCAAGGAAGCUCAUCCGUUUGCCUCUUUCAUAUCUUUAGUUUGCCCAAGUAGUGAGGUAAAUAGUUUCUCAACAGUUCUAGCUGUCUAGUACAGCUAAGAUUAUCUUUCAUGACUUGCUGAUUUGGUGUUGAGUUGCUAUAUCAUUUUAUGCUGACAUGUUCACAAUCCUAGCAGAAUGACUAUUCGGAGCAAUGGGCUUUGGCAUGCGGAGAAAUCCUUCGCAUUUUGACUCAUUACAAUCGUCCCAUAUAUAAGACUGAGCAACAAAAUGGAGAAACAGAGAGAAAUUGUUUCAGCAAAGCUACAACAAGUGGUUCUCCGACUUCAGAGCCUAAGGCUUUAUCACCAACACAGCAUGAAAGGAAACCUUUAAGGCCUUUGUCUCCAUGGAUCAGUGAUAUACUACUUGCCGCUCCCCUGGGUAUAAGAAGUGACUAUUUCCGAUGGUAAGUAGACUGUGUUACUGUUGCUUCUAUACGCUGGCCUCGUUCUUUUAUUUUGGUCUCUGCUGAGGACUCUGUAUUGAGGCUCUGUAGUGGGCUUAAGCUUACUUACAACUAAAACUGUUGCUUAUAUUUACAGGUGUAGUGGUGUAAUGGGUAAAUAUGCUGCUGGAGAGCUCAAGCCGCCAACCAUUGGUGAGUUCAGUAGAGUUGUUCUUUCAUUUCGUUCAUAUAUGUGUAUCCCUCAUCUGUGGGAUCUGUGGCUAUAGAAUGCGUUUUUAGUUACUUAUUUUAACUCUCACGUUGUCCUUCUAUGGCAGCUUCUCGAGGAUCUGGUAAACAUCCUCAACUGAUGCCUUCGACGCCAAGAUGGGCAGUUGCUAAUGGAGCUGGUGUCAUACUGAGUGUUUGUGAUGAUGAAGUUGCUCGAUAUGAGACUGCUACGCUUACAGCGGUUGCUGUCCCUGCACUUCUUCUUCCUCCCCCAACGACAUCCUUAGAUGAGCAUCUAGUUGCUGGCCUUCCAGCUCUUGAACCAUAUGCACGUUUGUUUCAUAGGUAUUGUUUCUGAGAUUACCCUUUCGAUUGGGGUUAAUUAGUAGUAAUCUGUUACUAGUUUUAAGGUUGUGCUUCCUCGAGUUCCUAAUUCAGAAUUGUUUCUCACUUUCCCGAUUUACUGUCAGAUAUUAUGCCAUUGCAACUCCAAGUGCUACUCAGAGACUUCUUCUUGGACUCUUAGAAGCACCACCGUCGUGGGCUCCAGAUGCACUUGAUGCUGCUGUACAGCUUGUAGAACUCCUUCGAGCUGCUGAAGAUUAUGCAUCUGGUGUAAGGGUAAGCGUCAUAUGAAUCCUUUAAAUACUCUCCAGAAAGCUAAUAGUGUCCCUUCUUCCACACAAUGAGAUUUGUUGGCUUACAAUAUGUGGGAGCCUGUCAAAUUUCAUCGGUCGAUAGCAUUGGCUCCUAAAAAAAAAAGUCAGCUUUGAUAUGUCAUCAAAAAAAUCAGCAUUGAUCACCCUCUCUUUCUUGGUGUAGCUACCCAGGAACUGGAUGCAUUUGCACUUCUUGCGGGCAAUAGGAAUUGCUAUGUCUAUGAGGGCAGGUGUUGCUGCUGAUGCUGCAGCCGCUUUGCUUUUCCGCAUACUCUCACAGCCAGCACUGCUUUUUCCUCCGCUAAGUCAAGUUGAGGGAGUAGAAAUUCAGCACGCGCCUAUUGGUGGCUACAGUUCAAAUUACAGGAAACAGGCAUGGUUCCUCUUUAUUUAUUUUUUUGCUGUUCCACCAACUUAUCUUUGAUAUGCGAUUGGCAUUCUGCUAGAAAAUUAUAUUGAAACUGACUAAUUCCACAAGUCUGAAUUUUUCAACAGAUAGAAGUUCCUGCAGCAGAAGCAACCAUUGAAGCCACUGCCCAAGGAAUUGCGUCAAUGCUUUGUGCUCAUGGUCCUGAAGUUGAAUGGAGAAUUUGCACUAUAUGGGAAGCUGCUUAUGGAUUGAUCCCUCUAAAUUCUUCAGCGGUUGAUCUUCCCGAAAUUAUAGUUGCUACCCCACUGCAACCUCCUAUCUUGUCAUGGAAUCUAUACAUUCCACUCCUCAAAGUACUUGAAUAUCUUCCACGGGGGAGUCCUUCAGAAGCAUGCUUGAUGAAAAUAUUUGUUGCCACAGUGGAAACAAUACUCAGUAGAACCUUUCCGCCUGAAUCAUCCAGGGAACAUACCAGAAAAGCUAGAUCGAGUUUUACCACAAGAUCAGCGACCAAAAAUCUUGUUAUGGCUGAGCUUCGUGCUAUGGUCCAUGCUCUCUUUUUAGAAUCAUGCGCUGGUGUGGAAUUAGCUUCACGCCUACUUUUUGUUGUUUUGACUGUAUGUGUUAGCCAUGAAGCACAGUCUAGUGGUAGCAAGAGACCGAGAAGUGAAUAUGCUAUCACUACCGAAAAUGUUGAGGCGAAUCAACCUGUAUCUGACAAUCAAACUGCUAACCGUAAAAGUAGGAAUGUUAAGGGACAGGGACCUGUUGCAGCAUUUGAUUCAUACGUUCUUGCUGCUGUUUGUGCUCUUGCCUGUGAGGUUCAGCUGUAUCCUAUGAUCUCUGGAGGGGGGAGCUUUUCCAAUUCUGCCGUGGCUCGAACUAUUACAAAGCCUGUAAAGAUAAAUGGGUCAUCUAACGAGUAUGGAGCUGGGGUUGACUCGGCAAUUAAUCAUACACGCCGAAUUUUGGCAAUUCUAGAGGCACUCUUUUCAUUAAAACCAUCUUCUGUGGGGACUCCAUGGAGUUACAGUUCUAGUGAGAUAGUUGCUGCGGCCAUGGUUGCAGCUCAUAUUUCCGAACUGUUCAGACGUUCAAAGGCCUUGACGCAUGCGUUGUCUGGGUUGAUGAGAUGUAAGUGGGACAAGGAAAUUCAUAAAAGAGCAUCAUCAUUGUAUAACCUCAUUGAUGUUCACAGCAAAGUUGUUGCAUCCAUUGUUGACAAAGCUGAACCCUUAGAAGCCUACCUCAAGAAUACACCAGUUCAGAAGGAUUCUCUGACCUGUUUAAACUGGAAACAACAGAACACAUGUGCAAGCACCACACGCUUUGAUACAGCGGUGACAUCCGCCUCAAGGACUGAAAUGAAUCCUAGAGGAAACCAUAAGUAUGCUAGACAUUCAGGUGAAGGCUCAGGGAGACCCUCAGAGAAGGGUAUCAAAGAUUUCCUCUUGGAUGCUUCUGAUCUAGCGAAUUUCCUCACAGCUGAUAGACUCGCAGGGUUCUAUUGUGGUACACAAAAGCUUUUAAGGUCAGUGCUUGCAGAGAAACCGGAGCUGUCUUUCUCCGUUGUUUCACUGUUAUGGCACAAACUGAUUGCUGCUCCUGAAAUCCAGCCCACCGCAGAAAGCACCUCUGCGCAACAAGGAUGGAGACAGGUAAACCUCAGCAUUUCUAUUUCCCAGCUCGCUUACAGUUUCCUUGGUAGUCUUUUGGUUCUUCACUAAUCCAAGUUCUCAAGGGGCUCGACUUCAUUCACUAAUCAUAUUUUUCAUAUAUCAGGUUGUUGAUGCGCUAUGCAAUGUUGUAUCUGCAACGCCAGCAAAAGCAGCUGCAGCAGUUGUUCUUCAGGUCCAAAUUACUCUGACUUUUUAUUUCAUUUGUCAGGAAUGCCACACGUGUGUAAAGAUUAAAUUGGGGAAAACCUCUGGAUUGUGUUAAUGUUAUAUAAUGCUUGGUUCACUCGAUCGAUCUCUCUUGAAUUUAUAACAAAUUAAGCUGGGAAUUUAUGUGCAACACUUGUUUUAAUAUGCCACGGAUAUAUAAGGAAAAAAUUAUCUUUAUAAAAUGAUGUGUUGUUUCAGGCUUAUAUGUAGGAUUUACUUUAGUGCUCUCUAGUCUGAAAUGGUCGUGUGUUAUUUACAGGCUGAGAGGGAGUUGCAGCCUUGGAUCGCCAAAGAUGAUGAAGAAGGUCAGAAAAUGUGGAAAAUCAACCAACGGAUAGUCAAAGUGUUGGUGGAACUCAUGCGCAAUCAUGACAGGCCUGAGUCACUGGUGAUUCUGGCAAGUGCAUCAGAUCUUCUUCUGCGGGCAACUGAUGGAAUGCUUGUUGAUGGAGAAGCUUGUACAUUACCUCAACUUGAGGUAGUGCACUGUUAUAGAUUGCUCUACAAUGCCUUUCCUCGGGUUAGAGUGAAAAUCGGUUUUCUGACUCCACUGUAUUUUAAACUUUUGCAGCUACUUGAAGCCACGGCAAGAGCAAUACAGCCAGUGCUAGCUUGGGGGCCAUCUGGACUAGCAGUUGUCGACGGUUUAUCCAAUCUAUUGAAGGUAAGCAUAUACAAACAGAGCCUAUGGUUUCCUGCGUUGAUUGUAGAUGAUCAGUAGUAGGUUCAAACCAACUCUUAAAUAAACUGGGAGUUAAACUCACUCUUAGAAACAAUUUGUGGGCGGAAGGAACUUUAGGCUCCUAGACCAUCUCUUAGCUUGCAUAAGUCGCCAUGUUUCCAAAUUUUCAUGUUCCAAGUUGGUCUUUGGUUUUGAUACAACUCUCGCUUAAAAGUCUGGUCCAGUAACCAAAGUGCUUAACCUUUAUCCAAUUGUGGACAAUCGAAUCUGGACUGUACUUAACCUUGUUCACAUCUGUUUGCUUCUAUGCAGUGUCGUCUACCAGCAACAGUACGGUGCCUUUCACACCCAAGUGCACACGUACGUGCCUUAAGCAUAUCAGUACUACGUGACAUCAUGAACCAAAGCUCCAUACCCAUCAAAGUAACUCCAAAACUGCCAACAACAGAGAAGAACGGAAUGAACAGCCCGUCCUAUCGGUUCUUCAACGCCGCCACAAUAGACUGGAAAGCCGAUAUCCAAAAAUGCUUGAACUGGGAAGCUCACAGCUUGCUCUCCACAACUAUGCCUACUCAGUUUCUUGACACCGCAGCUCGAGAACUCGGCUGUACUAUAUCCUUGUCCCAAUAACUAGCGCCCGCGCUUUUGUUUUUGGUAAUUUUUAGUUCUCUAGACAAAAAAUAUUUGGACGUAGACCAAGAAGAAUAUAUAUAUAGCUUGUUGCAUGUAUGAUGAGUGACUGACGCAAUCACUCCCACCGGCGUUGGAUUUGCCCUCGCUCUCGGGGUCUUAUAUAACUCAAACCUCUUCUUUGUACAUUUUAAAUGACGAAGUAGCACAACCUUUUUGUCUUGCUCAGUGGAUUCUAAACCGUAAUGUAUAGUAGUUUCUAUUUCAAGUUGUAUGGAAAAUUUCCAUAUAUACUUAUUUUGAAAUCAUCAAAAAUUAUUAAUAUAGCAAAAGAAAAAACAUAAAAACAAAAUAUUGGGAUUUUAAAAUAUUAUUAAGGGUAAAUUAGUAAUUUACUGGAAGAGCUUCAUAUUAGGUUCGAAAACCCUAAAGGAGUUACGCCGCUUAUAACAGACCUGACCUUGUUAAGCUGUGGUGGCGCCUCCAGAGUCUGUGAAAGAGCUUAAUCCUUGUAUCGCGAUCUUUCUCGGCAUCCAAAAAUGGUACGAUCAUCGUUCUUCAACUCUCUUCUGUUUCUUCGAAUGAUUAUCUGUUUCUCCAAUUGCUCGUUGCUUCAUUUUGUGUAUCGCUCGUUUUCAUUGCUGGUGUUUUGGAUUGGAUUUGAUUUGUUAAGCCUUUCACGAUUUGCGACUGACGGAUCUAGUUUUGCUCUCGUUUAUGUAGUCUCUAGUUGCGAACGAGGAGUUUCAGCAUAUUUUGCGUGUGCUCAACACUAAUGUCGAUGGGAAGCAAAAGAUUAUGUUUGCCUUGACCUCGAUCAAGGGUAUUGGAAGGCGAUUGGCCAACAUUGUGUGCAAGAAGGCUGAUGUUGACAUGAACAAGAGGUUUGUUUCCUUGUUUACUAGCUUGUAUCUCAGUACCUCUGUGACUAGAAUUGAACCUGCUCGAUCUGGUUUGUGUUCUAAGAAAUGUGAUAGAAGUUAAUGGAAUUCUUGAAGAAGUUGAUUUACUGUCAUGUUUUUAAUGUUUUUCCUUUGCUGUAAUAUUCAGGGCUGGAGAACUAAGUGCUGCAGAAAUCGACAACCUCAUGACAAUCGUUGCGAACCCUCGUCAGUUCAAGAUCCCAGACUGGUUCUUGAACAGGCAAAAGGAUUACAAGGAUGGGAAAUACUCCCAAGUUGUUUCCAACGCUCUGGACAUGAAGCUGAGAGAUGAUCUUGAGCGUCUCAAGAAGAUCAGGUAACAAUUAACACACAGUCCUCUGUAGUUUAUAUAUAUGCCCACUAUAAUCUAGCUAUAAUGGUAAAAGAUAAGUACACACUCUUGUGUUAGAUCAUGUAUACUUGAAAUAGUAAAAGGUAUGCUCAUUUCUGAUAACAAAAACCCAAUCUGUAGUAAAAUGAAACUGGUGCAGUCUUUGUUUCUUCUCUCUUGUUGUUCUUAUAUUGAUACUGGCUGCAAUCAAUUGAACUUUGUUAGUACUGACUGUGGUUAUCACUCUAAUGUAAACAGGAACCAUCGUGGUCUGAGGCACUACUGGGGUCUCCGUGUACGUGGACAGCACACCAAAACCACCGGACGCCGUGGAAAGACUGUUGGUGUCUCUAAGAAGCGUUAAAAAAGAGUUGGUUCGUGUUGCACGACGAGCUUGGUUCAAUGGCUUUGCUUUGUUUUGUAUUGUUUUUUGCAGAAGAGAUAGUUUAAGCAAUGUUGUUUCAUCAAAAGACGGUCUUAGCUUUUACAAUAUAUAAUUGAAUCCAAAAACUAUGUUGUUCCUAGUCUUUUUGUUACAUUCUCUUAAAAUCUGCUUGAAACAAAGUAAUAAUACAAAAUCCUCAAUUCCAUACAAAGAAUUUAUAAUCGAGAAAUCAGAUAGUGUGGCACAAGGGGCUGUCGCUGUCAUGUGCAAAUACAUCGUUAUCAGUUUAAUCACUAUCAGUAACUUUAAACACUAAAACUAAUUAUCAUUUUUUUUUUUGCCAUUCAAAACUAAUUAUCAUUUUCAAUUUUUUUCUCACUUCUUCUUCAUCACUUGUUCUCUCUCUCUCUCAUCGCCUAUACGCGAGAGAAAAGUAACGAUCUCAACCGCCGGCGCUGACCAAAGCUAUCGAUUCUCUUCCCGAGCUGAUCCCUCAGGUGAAUUUUCCUCCCGUAGAUUCACUUUUUUUUUUUUCCAGCGAGUUUUCCCGAGAAAAACCAUCAAAAAGUAGUAGCGAGGACGAACUUUGAAUUGAGAUCGUAAUCUUUCGGUGGCUUGAAGUAGCUUAUGCAUGUUCAAACUCUUCUUCAGUUGUUUGCUCAUGAUUCGAAAAUGGCUUUAUAGAUCUUCUCUUUAUCAAUUCACUAGUAUUCUACAUCUAAUAAAACUUACAGUUACAGAUCCAAUCUCAUUUCGUUUCCUUCUACUAUCUAUCUCUGUUACGAUUUUUUUUUUUUUUUUUCUCUCUUUUAGCGUUUUAGAUCUCCUCCAUGAUUGAGUUUAAGUGAUCCAUGUAUGAAGAUCAUCUGAACUAUUUUUUUCACUUGAGUGGUUUCAGUCAAUUUAGCAAGUAAGAUGUUGUAUGUGUCAAUGCUAUAACUGUGAAUUUUCAGCUAUUGUAGUUUGAUUUGUCUUUGUUAGCUUCAGGUUUCUUGAAUCUGAGUCUGUCAAAACCAUACUAUAUUUGGUGCUCGGUGGUGAGCAAGAAGGGGGACAUUGUCAGGGUUUCAAUGUACGCCAGAUGAAUAGACCAACUAAUGUUACUGGCAGUAGAAGGAGGGGGUUUAUUCUCAGCGUCUGCGUCUGGGUAUAGUAAGGGAUUGACCCUUCUUUUCUCUGGUGAUAAAGACGGAGAUAGGCCCAUGAGAGUUGUGCCGUGGAAUCACUACCAGGUGGUUGACCAAGAGGCUGACCCUGUUCUUCAGCUGGAUUCUAUCAAGAACCGAGUUUCCCGCGGUUGCGCUGCUUCCUUCAGUUGUUUUGGUGGCGCUUCCGCGGGACUUGAGACCCCAUCUCCUCUUAAAGUAGAACCUGUGCAGCAGCAUCGUGAAAUAUCAUCACCAGAGUCUGCUGUUGUUGUUGUUUCUGAAAAGGGCAAAGACCAAAUAACUGAAGCUGAUAAUGGCAGCAGCAAAGAAGCUUUCAAGCUCUCAUUGAGGAGUAGCUUGAAGAGGCCGUCUGUUGCGGAAUCACGGUCUCUUGAGGAUAUAAAAGAAUACGAGACGUUGACUGUGGAUGGUAGCGAUCUCACUGGUGACAUGGCAAGGCGGAAAGUUCAGUGGCCUGAUGCUUGUGGUAGUGAACUCACUCAAGUUAGAGAAUUUGAGCCGAGGUAUGUGAUGUGUUUACCUCUUAUUGACCAGCUUAAAUCCCAAUAUAAGUUAGUUUAAGUAGAUCCAUUGUAUUAUGCAAAUAGGAUCCUUAAUGUGAAUCUUGAGCUUACAUAAUUAGAUCCAUGGUUUUAUGCAAAUAAGAUCCUCAAUGUGAGUCUUGUGCUCCUAUGCCUCAAAAUGGAAAUCCUUCAAUUCAUUCAGAGUUUCACUUCAUAUGUGCUUAGAACCGCGAAAACUCAAUACAUCUGUUACGCAUCUUUGUUUUUGCAGAGACAUUUUAGCUUUGUUUCCUUUCCUUUGCGAUCCUCCCUCGGUUUGUUAAUGACAUACAAGAAACAAACUUGAUUUUGGUUGCAGUGAGAUGGGAUUAUCAGAUGAAGAAUGGGAGGUAGGACGACAAAGAACAUGUUCGUGUGUGAUCAUGUAAAUUCAGAAAUCAUCGGUAUCACUCUUUACUCACCUCUUGUGUGCAUUUCUCAUAGAUUUAAAGUGUAUCUGUUAUUACAAAGUUCUCUUCAAGGUUUUGGCUUGUACAUUAUUCCCAGUGUUUUGAGUGGCAACUUAUUCCUGGUUUCUAUUUUCUAAAAACGAUAAGAGAACAUCUAAAUCGAUGCAAAGAGGAAGAGAGUGGCAAUAACUCUUGUUCUUGUAGCCAUCUCAACUACAUGACGUGCGUGUACAAAACUAGAAUGCAAACAAAAUUGACUUGCGUUAUAUACUUAUUCCACUAACUGUAAAGCGAAUUCGCAACGAUCCACCAUAUUUGUUCACAUUGUCCUUGGUGAACUAAUCAAUCAUGUAAACAUUUAAUGGACUUUACGAAGAGUCUGGAGUCCUCUGUUAUAUGAAUUGCUUACCAGCUUCUAUACCAUAGCGUUUCUGGUUGCAAGUACUUACUUAACCAUCUUGCCAGAGAAAGUUGACAAUCUGAUGACAACAUAGGGUUAAAAUGUAAAAUUAAAAACAAUAAGGGAGAAAUUAUGGAAUACAGAUAAACAUUAGGGAUCAAAAUGAAAGAGGACCAGAAAGAGAAAUCUACCGUCUCUUCUUCAAACCAAACCCAGAACCCCCGUCCGACGUUUUCCCGGUGAAGAUAGAGAUGCGGAGGAUCAAUUCACUGUACGGAAGAAUUGGUAUGCUUAGGAGAGUACCCGAAGAAUCUACGAAGAAAUCUCAUACAUUGCUCGCCUCUCUCUCCUUCUCUACGGAAGGUAGUUAUGGCGGUGACGGUGAGCUUCAGCAGAACAGCUCCAAAGUCAAGAUCUUUGAUCGAGAUCUCAAGCGAAUACAUGUGUAGUGUUCGAAUUCAUCUCUACAUUUUCCUCUCUUUUUUUUGUUAACCCAGUUUACAAAUUCCUUGUCUCUGAUUUACAAUUUCUGUGUUCGAUUGAAGCGUGAUCGAGCGGCGUGGCUUUCUCGCCAAAAAAACGAUUCUUUUGUUGACGCUGUUGCAGAGAAUCUACUUGACCGCUUAGAGGUACUCUUUUGUUUGAUGCAUGAUCGCCAUUCAGAGAGUAGAGAGCUCUAUUUAGUAAAUCUUGUUUUUGCUCUUUGUUAGGAUUGUAAGAAGAGUUUUCCCACUGCAUUUUGUUUGGGAGGAUCUCUUGGUGCUGUUAAGCGAUUACUACGUGGUCGCGGUUAGUUAUCUCUCUCUUGACAAGAGUCAUGGUUUAGAUUUAUUUCCAUCUGUAUUUUGAAUGUUGAUGAUGAUGAUUUUGUUGCACAGGUGGGAUUGAGAAGCUUAUCAUGAUGGAUACUUCAUAUGACAUGAUUAAAUCAUGUAGAGAUGCUCAAGAGGAUUCACUCGAUAACUCCAUUGAAACAUCUUAUUUUGUUGGUGAUGAAGAGUUUCUGCCAGUCAAAGAGAGGUAACAAGGACUAUAUUGUAAAAUUCGUUUUUUUCGCCUAGCCGCCACUUACUAGAGUUCUAUACUUACUAACAUAUGGUCAAAUGUUGUAUGUGAAGUUCGGUUGAUUUGAUCAUAAGUUCGUUGGGGCUUCAUUGGACAAAUGAUCUUCCUGGUUCCAUGAUACAGGUUUUCCCUUUUUGUUUGCCUUUGUUGGUGUAUGUGAAUUGGUUUGUCCUCUGAGUAAAUAUUCAUAAUGUGUUGGUUUUGGAUUGUGAUAACUGCAGUGCAAACUAGCGCUGAAGCCUGAUGGCCUAUUUUUAGCAGCAAUUCUUGGCGGAGAAACCUUAAAGUUUGUCCUGUCUUUCAUCUCGACUCAAUAUUGAAUCUCUAUCUGAUAUCGUUUUUCUUAUGAGCCUUUAUGAAUUGAAUUUAUUUAUAAGGGAGUUGAGAAUAGCAUGCACUUUGGCUCACAUGGAGCGAGAAGGAGGUAUUAGUCCCCGGCUAUCACCUUUGGCACAGGUGUGUGUGAAUAUCGUAGCAAGUUCACUUAAUUUUCUUUCAAAGCUUGAAAAUAGCAGAAAUUGCAGUUUGUAGAUGACAGAACCAAAAGGCUGAUUUAUAGUGAAAGAAAAUGGCUUCUCUUUCUUUCAGGUUAGGGACGCAGGGAAUCUCUUAACCAGGGCGGGUUUUAGUCUUCCUGGUGUUGACGUUGAUGAAUAUGUAGUCAAAUACAAGAGUGGUAAACUGUUCCACUUUUUUCUACUUCAUCGUUGGCGAAAACGUGUAUCCUCCAAUAAUUAUUUUUGACUUGCCUCUUCGUUUAUAUCUUUCUACUCAGCGAUGGAUCUUAUAGAGCAUCUUCGUGCGAUGGGUGAAACCAAUGCUCUUCUCGAGAGAAACAAGGCUGGUUUCUUCUUGUGUCAGAAUUUUUCACAAUUAUGACUACUAUAUACAUUUGCUAAACUAAAAUGACUUGAAAAACAGAUUUUGAAUCGCGAAACUGCUCUGGCCACGGCAGCCAUAUAUGACUCCAUGUUUGCCACAGAGGACGGCACUAUACCUGCUACUUUUCAGGUCUGUCAAUAGAAUUUCAGAACUAACUCAACCUAGCUUCACUAUUCAAGUUGAUUUGCUACAAUCCAUGCAGUUGACAACAUGUGAGGCCUUAAAGUAUAUCGUUUGACAUUCCUGUGUAGGUAAUUUACAUGACAGGAUGGAGAGAACAUUCGUCUCACCCGCAGGCCAAACGAAGAGGUUCAGCCACCGUAUCCUUCACUGAUCUCCAGAAGCAAUUUGGCGGUCAAUCCUGAUGGAAUGAUUAAAGAGGAGAACACAUUCAAUAAACAGAGACUUUACAAUGAGACUCGAGAGAAAUCAGUGACUUAUCUAUAAAAUACUGUGAGGAACUCAUUCACUGGGCGAAAGCAUCGCAAUCAUGACAAAUGCUUUCACCCAAUAAUGUAAUAGCUGAUCAGAAGCAUGUUUGUAUUUUACAAAAAUAGUUUGAAUACUUAAACUCAAUCUUCAAUCACGAAACAUUAUCUCGCGCGAGGCCUCUUUAAUAGAUUCGUAUACAAUGGACCAAACUUCACUAAAACAUUAAUCAAAACCUUAUACGUAUAUUCACAACCAUUUGAUUGUGUUUUGUGGUGCGUAAUCUUGUUUUGAGUAAGAUUAGGUACCUAACACUUGUUUUAGUGCUACCUAAUCUUACUCAAAACAAGAUCAAACGUGAUCGUGACCGUCCAGAUAAUCAUACACUGAAAUAUUCAACGGCUCCAUUUCCACAGCUCCAUUCACACAAUACGUCGUCGUAUCACCACACCCAGAAUUUCCCGACACAAAACCACCGUUACUGUGAACGAUCCCGGCGUCGAUGGCCAUUCCGGCAUUAGAAGCAGCUUGCUGGAUAGACCUCGGCGAAGUUUUGGAAACGAUUGAAGGAUUAAGCAAAUGAGGAAAAUUGAGAGAUUCUAACGAAUCAGGUUGGUGUAAACAGAAGAAAGCAACGUCGUGUGCUACGGCGGCGCCUUCGGCGGUUGAGAAUGAACCUAACCAGAGACGAUCACGAGUUCCCGGAACUCGAAUCUCCGAUACCCAUUUGCCCCAUUUCCGACGACGGAUUCCUUUGUACUUUGACUGAGUUUCACCGGCGUCUCUGUAAUCCAUUUUUUGUAUGAUCGAUGCGAAGAAGAAACUUUUGAGUGUUGUUUAUGUUUGAAUCUGAAGAUACGAGACUAUUUAUACGUUGAAGUUUAACGAAAGUCAAAUCAUAAGAUAUAGUAUUUUUAAUAUGAAUCAUGAAUGAGAAUGUGGUUGACCAAUUAUAAAUAUAGUUUUUUAAUUAUCGAAGAAAAAAUCAACUGGUCAAAGUGGUAUCAAUUUGACAUGUGCCUUACUGACUGGUCAAUUUUUCUUUACAAGUUGUAAUUUUUGGAUUUUGGCUAGUAAAUUCAAUGUAUUUGAAAAGUUAACAGUCAUUUUUUAUAAAACAAGUGGUAUAUAUAAUAUACCGUUCUGUUUGGUUUCAAUAUGAAUGAUGUCAUGUGUUUAUUUACUUAUUUUGAAUGUAAAAAAAUUAAUCAUAUUUUAUUUAUUCAAAAAGGUGAAUUUAUAGUUUUUCACCUUUUUGUUUUUUGAUAUUCAAAAAGUUGUAAGUCAUAAUCUAUAGUUUUUAUAAGUUGAAGAUAAGAGCGGAGUUAUUUUAUUUUAAUUUUUUGUUGUCGAGAUUCAACAUGACAUCUCUGUCAUUUUUUAAUCUCAAAACGUUUAUACUGAGACUAUCAGUUCCGGUUAAUUUUUUACGUUUUUUUUUGUAGUAAUAGUUAUGCAUUUGACCAAAACAUAAUGUGAAAGUGAAGAGUAUGAGUAUAAAAUAAAUCAUUAGAAAUUAAUUAAAUAAAUUAAGAAAACAUAUGUAUAAAUGUGUACUUAGAUACUGUUAAGUGUUUAACUCGUUGUAAUAAUAAAGAGAAAAGCAGUGGAAAAAAAAUAAAAUAAAAAGUCGAUUCAAACUCCACCGAUGAAGAAGAAUGUGAAAACGUCGUCAUCUAAGGUUAAACCACGUGGGAUAAAGAAAAAAACAACAAAGACUUUCUUUGCCUUUUUUGGGUACAAAUUGCGUCAUGCGUUACGUGAGCACCGUCUAAAGCGGGUCCUUUAAUUUGUUUUUUUGGUAUUUGACCAAAACCUGUAAUGAGACUGUCCACGGGUACUACACACAUACAACAGCCCAAACUAGUUGGAAAAAGUUGUUUUUUGUCUUCUUCUGUGUCUUUAAUAUUGCUGACUCAGAGACAUGGUUGUCGAAUAUUAGUUCACACACAACCACAUCCAAAACACGAAUCAUCCACGGAGAAACCCAGGCCCAUCAUGUAUUUAAUGUGAUGCAUAACCAAUUCUUUAUACUUGAUUAGGUUUGCGUUUACACAGACAAAGGUACUUACUUCAAGUUUAGGGUGUUAUUAGAGUUUUUACUAGGUAUUUUGAACACCCUAGUUUUUUUUUUUUUUUGCUAGAUUUUGAACACCCUAGUUUAUUAGAGUUUUUUACUAGGUAUUUUGAACACCCUGGUUUAAAAAAAAAAAAAAAAUCUACGCGAUUUGCAGUUUAAUUGUUUAUAAAAUAAAAUUAAUGUAAUAGUAUAUUAAUAUCAAUUCAUAACUCAUUUAUUAUAGAGAAAUUCCUAAAAAUAGCCUUAAAACAAGUUUUAUUGACAAUAAUAGCACACACUCCAUAAACUUCCAAAAAUAGCACUAGUUAAGUUACUAUUAGUUCUAAAACUUUUAUUACUAGUUUAUUUUUUCAAUAAUACCACAAUUUUAAUAUAAAAGCUAUUCAACAAAAUAAAUUAGAAAUAAAUUUAAAAUAUUAUAUUUGGGUUCUCUAUUUCCAAUUUAGGGUAUAUAUUUCCACCAUUUAAAAGAGAUUUUGAUUCAUUUUAAUAUUAGUUUAUGGUAUUAUAUUUGGGUUCCCUAUUUCCAAUUUAGGGUAUAUAUUUCCACCAUUUAAAAAAGAUUUUUAUUUUAAUAUUAGUUUGUGGUAUUAUAUUUGGGUUCCCUAUUUCCAAAUUAGGAUAUAUAUUUCCACUAUUUAAAAACAAUUUUGAUUCAAUUUAAUAUUAGAGUAGUGUUUGCUCUCU
RNAcentral lists this long non-coding RNA (49706 nucleotides) under Arabidopsis lyrata. RNAcentral's name for it is "long non-coding RNA (ALYR_LNC003057)". The record is from RNAcentral. Lineage: Eukaryota; Viridiplantae; Streptophyta; Magnoliopsida; Brassicales; Brassicaceae.